UUUUACCAUCUUCAAACCAGAUGUCAGAGGAUCAUUGGCCAAACAUAGUCAUGUGACAAAAAAUCAUCUCCAACCGAUAGUCAAAGAACUAUAGUAUGGAAUGUGAAGAAUUAAAAUAAAAUGAGGUAAGAUAGUAUGAAAUUGUGAAAAAUAUGUGAGAAAUGAUGUAGGAAAAAAUUAGAAAUUAAGAAGAAAAAAAAAAAGUGGGGUGGGAUUAAAAAAAGAAAAGUGGGCAAGGACAAAAAAAAUCAUAAACCCUAAAGCCUAAAGUGGGUUGGGCAAAUGGAAAAGAACAAAACAUAAAAAAAAAUUAGGCUAGCCAGCGAGCUGGCUGGCUAAAGAUGGUCAGCCGAUUGGUCAUUUGACACUUUUUUAUCCCGUAAUGCCCACGAGCACUUUGGCUUAAUCUUCAGUUUGAAACGGUUUUCGGAUUAUUUUCGGCACUUUAACUUUCUGAACCAUUCGGUUGAAGAUGAUCUAAACAACGUAAUUAACCGAAAUAAUAAAUACUUAGGAUGAUUUUUUUUUUCUCUCUUUCUAAAAAGGUGAACACCUGUGCACGUGGCCAUCUAAAGAAUUGUAUUCAGUUCUCAAAAAAAAAAAAAGAAUUGUAUUCAUGAUUUGUUGUUAGGAAGAAGAGAUUUUCAGGUGUGAGUGGAAUAUAGAGUAGUACAUCACGUAUUAUUAUACAAAUGAUAUAAUAUGUGUAUUAAAAAGUUAAUAAAUUGAAAAAUAAAAUUUUCCACCACUUAUAUAAAAACACGUGGUGUACCACUUGUGUUUCGGUUAUAAUGAGAAAUUUCUCAAUCUGGUUGGUAAGGCCUUGUACUGUAGGCCUGUAUUCAAUUCUGCGCACCCGUGACAUGCUCGCGUUUAUGAUUUCUUGUUUUCUAUAGGAAAUAAUUAUGUUCUACAAAAUACAGACACCAAUUGGUUAUGUCAUUGUCACCCACUUACUCUUUUUCUUUCUGUUUAGUGUUCUUUAUUUCCAAGAGAAUUAAACAACAUUUGUCGCUUUUAUCACGUGAUUAAUUGUCACAUCCCGAUAUGGGGCAGACCACUUUCCGAGCCCGCUCCACCACCGUAGCACGAUAUUGUCCACUUUGGGUUUACCAUUCCCUCACGGUUUUGUUUUUGGAAACUCACGAGCAACUUCCCAGUGAGUCACCCAUCCUGGGAGUGCUCUGGCCUUCUUCUCGCUUAACUUCGGAGUUCCUACGGAACUCGAAGCCAGUUAGCUCUCAAAAGACCUCGUGCUAGGUAGGGAUGGGAAUAUACAUUUAAGGAUCACUCCUCUAGGCGAUGUGGGAUGUUACAAUCCACCCCCCUUAGGGGCCCGACGUUCUCGUCGGCACACUUCCGGCCAAGGAUUGGCUCUGAUACCAUUUGUCACAUCCCGGCCCGGGACAGACCACUACCCGGGCCCGCUCCACCACCGUAGCACGAUAUUGUCCGCUUUGAGCUUACCAUUCCCUCACGGUUUUGUUUUUGGGAACUCACGAGCAACUUCCCAGUGGGUCACCCAUCCUGGGAGUGCUCUGGCCUUCUUCUCGCUUAACUUCGGAGUUCCUACGGAACCCGAAGCCAGUGAGCUCCCAAAAAGCCUCGUGCUAUGUAGGGAUGGGAAUAUACAUUUAAAGAUCACUCCCCUAGACGAUGUGGGAUGUUACAUUAAUAACCAAGAAUGAGAACAAAGGAACUAAAAUUGAACUCGAAAGUGAUUUGAGUGUGCAUGAAGCAUUUUAAGUUUUUAGUAAUAGAAAUUAGAAAUAGAUAUACAUUCAAAAUCAGUAAUCAAAAUUUGUACCGAUGGAGAAUCUAGUAUUUGAAUAUAGCGAAUUAACAUUUCGAUUACAGACAUCAAACAAGAUGCGAGUUUAUAGUAUAUGUUAUUUUAUGGCGGUCUAGGUAUAAUGGUACAUGCAGUCUAAUGGUAUGAAAUCUAUGUAAAAUCUAACUGUUAAUUUUUCAAACCUUUUUUGAAUUUUUAUUUUUUAUUUGGAUAUUUUAACCAAAUAUACAUUAGGUAAAGACAAGUUAAUGUAUGGGAAAGGAUUAUAUGUCUCCAAAAUUCACAAAUAUAACGAAUUUAUUUAAAUAAGCAGAUUUUCUUUUUUCUUUUUUCUUUUUUUUGGCUCUGGGCUGGGCCUCUGGCUAUGAUAAUUUAUUGGCGGGAACGAGAGCUCCACUGUCAACACCGCACUGCUCAAGUUCUUCACUCUAUAACUCCACGAGUACGCCGCGAAGCUCCCCACCCCCUCGUAUAUGUCAAUCCGAGUGACAUUCGCCGUUGAUUAAAAUGUCGAACACUCUCUGCCCCGCCUCUGUCACUCCCGGAUCGAUUUCCACGAAAUGUAGCCGCAAGAAGUAGUCCAGCUCCGCGUCCACCGGUAAUUCGUACACUAUGACUCCUACCCCAUCGACAAACGCCGCCGAUUGGUACAGUUUGGCCGGGAAAUAGUUCGGGGCUUGAUCGACGUCGGAAAUCGAAUUUAUCGUGAUAACGGAUCGGACUGAGGAUCGGCGCCGGUGGACCGAAUAGGUCGGUGUCGUUGGUGAAGCCGGGGCCAAACGGAUCGGCGCCGCAGGAGAACCGCCCGUAGUUUACGAGGAUGUAGUUUUGGCCGAUGGAAACGCCGUCGUAUGAGGUCUCGUCGACCCGAACGAGCAUGAGAGAUCCGAUUACGGGAGCGUCAUUGGCAAUGCUGUGGAAGCAGACAUCGGCGUUGGAGUCGGCGACGAAAGCGAAUAAAUCCGAGUAUGCGCCGGUUCGGGCGAGGUCAUCGGGCAAAGGGGAGCUUCAGGAAAAGAUGACAGUGCCCACGACGGAGACGUCGAAGGAGGGGGAGUGGGAUUCGCCAUCGUAGUUGUCGUACACGGUGAAUGUGCGGAUGAAGUAUCGGCCGGGGGACAAAUUGGGGAUGGCGUAGCAGUUUUUUCGCUGGAGGAGAGGGGAAAGUAGCAGAGGGUCUUCUCGUGGGUUUGGCGGAAUCGGAGGGGUUCGGAGACGGGGGAGAUAGCGCCGCCGGUGAAUAAGCCUUCGGAGAGCCGGGUGGUGUUGAAUGAGUCGAUGGAAACUGAGAGGCUACCGCAAUCUAUCCGGUAGGAGCGCCCUGUGACCAGGCCCGGCCCAGGCCCAGUGCCACAAGGACAACUGUCCAGGGCCCAAAACUAAAGGGGGCACCAACAAAAAUAACCCAAAUUACUAAGUAUUAAAAAAAUAAAAAAUAAAGGUCCAAAGCCCAGAUAGGGCUGCCGGCUGGAGGGCAAGAGCCCAAGGUAGGUUUAAAAAGGACCACGUCCAGGGCUUCACAAAAAAAAAAAAAAAAAAAAGUAAUACAAAACAACAUUAAAGGACCACUCGGUCCCCAAAAACCCUAUACCUAUUCCCAUAUCCCCACUCCCCCUUUCCUAAUAUUUCCCUCCCUGCUGCCGUCUGACCUUCUGCUCCCCUUCACAGUCGACAGUCCAGUCCAGAACCUGUCCCUCCUCCUCAGUUGCUCCUGCAAGUGCAAGUGCCAAAAGCAUUCACUCACCACCAAUCAUUUUGAGUUUUGAGGUAAAUUAAUUUUUAAAAUUUGACUUAUCAAUUCAUAAUUUAAUAUAAAAUUUUGCAAAUGAUAUAGAAUUAUAUGAUAAUUGAUGUAUAGAAUUGUUGUUGUUGAUGAAUUGAAUUAUUUGAUUUCAUUUCAAACCAAAUUUUUAGGUUUAAUUUUUAUAAUAUAUUAGACUAUAUGUUUGUAUUUUUAUAAUAUAUAAUAUGUGUUAGAAUGAUAAUUUUGAUAGGAAAUUUUUGUUAUAUCAUGUGUAGGUAAUUUUUGCAAACAAAUUAUCGAAGCCAUGUCUUUUAGGAAACAACUCUCUGGUAAUAUGAAAAGGAAAAAAAAGGCAAAGGAUAACGAAAUUGCCGAAAGUUUAAGAGGAUCUCUUCAUAAAUUUUUCUCUACAAAAAAUGAGUCAGUUGAAAAUUUUGAGAGAAAAUAAUGUUGUGUGAAGAGUCACAAAAUGUUGUUGGGGAGUCUCAUGAUCAUGAAAAUAAUAGUGAUUUAGAAGAAAAUGUUGGUGAUAAGUCUCAAGACCAUGAAAAUGGUGGUGGUGGUGAUGUGAAUUUAAAUGUUGAUGGUGAUGAUAUUGGUGUAGAGGAAAAUAUUGAAUCUCCUGCACCUAUUUUCCAUUUAAACAUUUAUGAUCCAAGAGUUUGGGAUGGUCUUAAUGUAGAAAUGAGAGACUUACUUGUAGAAAAGGGACCAAUUUGAGAAACUAAUAUCAUUUAUCCUAAGGACAAACUCUGUAGAAAAUUUUCCUCACACUACUAUGAUCGAAAAUUACCAACGGGUGAAAUUUAUGAUAGGAAAUGGCUCGUGUACUCAAAAGAGUUGGAUAAAGUCUUUUGCGUUUGUUGUAAAUUGUUUAAAACAAUUGCCUCAAAAAGUGAGUUAGCAAAAGAUGGAAUUAGUGAUUGGAGACAUCUUGGUGUGAAGCUUGAUCAACAUGAAAAGAGUAAAGAGCAUCUCAUUAAUUCGAGAACUUAGGUUGAGUUGAAAAGUAGAUUGACAAAAAAUCAGACAAUUGAUAAAGAAUUUCAAUUGCGAAUCAAGAAAGAGACAAAUCAUUGGAAACAAGUGAUGCUUAGAAUUAUUGCUGUUGUGAAAUGUCUUGCCAUACAUAAUUUAGCAUUUCGUGGAACAAAUGAAAGACCUUAUGAAGACUCUAAUGGCAAUUUCUUAGGUUUACUUGAAAUGAUUGCAGAGUUUGAUCCAAUAAUGCAAAAGCAUUUUCGACUUAUUGAGAAUAAAGAGAUUCAUCACCACUGAGAUUCAUCACCACUAUUCCAGCCCUCGUUAAAUUUUUUUGUUUUAAACAUAUUUUUCAGUAUUAAAAAAGGGCACAUUUUGAGUUUUCGCACCGGGCAUCCAAAAACUCAGGACCGGCCCUGCCUGUGACACAAGAAAGUUAAGACAGUUGGGUGACAGUUAAGACAGUCGGGCUGGUUUGGCUGGCGGGAAAACCCAAAAUUAAUAGUUACUGUGUGUGACUGUGGAUGGGGGAGACUGUUACCGUCUGGAUAUGAAGGAGGAGAGGAGGAGGAGGAGGAGGAGGCGGUGGAGGUGAAUGUUGAGGAGAGGAAGAAGAUUGAGAGACGAAAGAGGAAGAAGACUGCCGCCAUUAUUUUUGCGUUUUAGGUGGGAGUGUGAAUUUUUAUGGCUAUAACUAAUAACGAAUUAAUAAAAUUAGAAAAAACAAUAUUUACACACUUCUUAUUUCUUUUUAAGCGCUCUUAUUUGUUUUUUAUCAGAUUUUUUUCCGAAUGUACGUGCGAAAAUCACUUGUGAAAAAAUUAUUAAGACAUAAGAGUUGAGGAUCCUAAGCCUGCAUAAAAGGCCACCCUUCCCACGAGAUAAUGGGCAGGUGGCAAGCAGGAAAAGCGUGAUAUCUUAUGGGCUUUUUUUAUUUUUUUUUUUUUUUUUUUGAGGAUUAAGAUGGGCUCAAAGAGGUGGGAGUCAAAUUUAGCCAAUGGGUGGCUUGAUUAAAAUCAUGAUUUUUGGGUGUCCAUUUUUCAAUUUGUGUAUUGGGUGCCAUGUUUAUGGGAUUGAGAUCAUCUCUGGACCUCAAAUUCUAGACCGACGAAUUCAGCAAUUUGAACCAUGAGAGAGAGAGAGAGAGAAAGAGAGAGAGAUGAGGGCAUAGUUUUGUGAGUAAAGUGGGUUAAUGUGAUGUGACUAAUAGGACCACAUAAUUUAAAUUGUAUGGUUCUGAUUACUGAGUUCAUCAGCUUUAGAGUUUGAGAUCCUAAGAUAAUCUCAAUCCAUAUUUAUGUAAAUCCUCAUGCACCAAUGUAACGAGUUUAUUCAAAUAAGAUUUUUUUUUUUUUGUUUUGGUUGUGGGUUCAUAUGAUUCUUUUUUUUUUCUUUUGAAAUAUAAGAUUAUUGGUUUAAUUAUGGGGGUUUGAUUGGUCUAAUGCAUUGCAACGUUUAACUAAAUCACGUCGCCGUUGACAUUAGUUUGUUAAAAUUGACAUGCUUGUUACUUUUCUCAUACCGAUUUGUUAAGUAUUAAACACAUUUGAUAUUUGUUAUUGGGAUUGAUUAAUUCAUUGACAAAUCCGACAAAAAAUAGACUUUGUGACACGAGCAACUUGAGAGUUAUUCAUAUGACGUGACAUGCUAAUUAUUGUGAGAGUAAUCCUAGGGAACUUAUAUUUUAGGUAAUGUUAAACCUCGUGAUAGGAACGACUUAUACUCAGGUUGGAUUAAGAUGUUCGAUAUUGUGCAUGAACACGACAUUGAUUAAACCCACAUGAACAAUGGAAGCCUUGGAUCAGUGAAGAAUAAUUUUUUAGAAAUUUUAUACUCCUUUGUCAAGUAAUUGUAGAUUGCAUAAACUCAUGGGAACAUGACAUUGAUGUACGGAACAAUAAUGGGUUAUAAUUGGAAGUUUUAACAAAACAUUAUAGGUACUUUUCACUUUUAACGAAAAUGACAUUUUUACUUUAAAAAAUCAUUUUUUGUAUUAUUCACUUACAACACUUUUUUGUCAUUUUGAUUAAAACUCAAAAAUUUUCAGCUGUUUUUAUUUGUUUUCCUUAUCAUAGGAAGUCUUGACGAAUCAAAAAUCAACUGAUUAGGACCUCGUACCUUUACAACUAUACUCCAAUAGGUGGGUAGCAAAUCACUAUCAAUUUCAGUUGGUUUUAGUCAAAAUUGUCUCCAUGAUUUAAAAUCGAUAAAAGCAAGUUUUUAAAAAACGAUAGGCAUUAGUCGGACGGCAAGCUAGAGCCUAGUGCUUAGGCACCUAGGCAGAGUCUAGGUGAGGGUAUAGGCAGAUUUAAAUAAAAUUGUUUUAAAUAUAAUUUAAUUCAAUUUACUAUAUGAUAUUUUUCAAAAAUAUAUGUGUAGGUUGCAUAAUUUUAUGGUGUGGUCUAAAAAAAUAAUCAUAAAAUACUACCAAAAAAAGAAUAAAACAUAAAGAGUCGAUGAUUUGGUUUUGAAAAAAGGAAGUUGGAAUUGACGAAUAGGGGUUAAUAAAUAAAAGAAGGAAAAGAUAAGUGGUGGGACCAUUUAAGGAGAUAAAAGGGAGGAAAACGUGGGUGAAACAGGAACAGUCUUCUUCGUCGCGCGAAAGGUGGACGGAAACACAGCCGCUGCGAACAUUUUUUUUUUCAGAUUCCGGCGUUCUCCACAUACGUCCGCCUAGAUCCCGCCCAAUCCCGCCUAGUCCUGCCUAAUUCUCUCCAGGCGGUCCGCCUAACAUACUUCUGAUUUUGUCACCGAUUAAGAUCAAGUCGCGGCUGUAACCGACCGUCCAGCACCUAAGCUUAUUUUUAGAACAUUGGAUAAAAGUGAUAUUUGAGUUUGUUCACCGUCAACAGUUUGAUCAUUAUGUGAAUAAUCUACGUUAAAUAUGACCUAAAUGAAAAAAAAAAAAAAAAAAAAAAACUCUCAAAUUUUCUCAAAUUUUUUGGGUCCAAUUAGGGCAUUUUUGGUAUUUUGAUCCUCACUUAACAGGUUUUUCACAUAAUGAUAAAAAAUAAUUUAUGGUAGACAAACUCCAUUGUUCUAAAAAUUUCCGCCUAGACGGCUGGCCACCGCUCUAAUUAAUAUCUAUGCAUUUGAAAAUUAAUAAAUGACGCUUAGACCUGUUGAGCCAUCUGCCUAGACUGCCUAGAGAUCCGCUUAGGUCACGGCUCACUUAGACAUAAAAUAUAUCACUUUCAUUUUGCAUUUUAUUUUUUCAAUAAAUUGUAAGAGACUUGUUACAUACUUAAAUAAACACACAUUAUAUCUUUGUUCCCCAUAUUUUUAUUAUGUUCCAAUACUUAAUAAUAUAUGUCAUUCUAUUUUGUAGUUUAUGAUGAAAUUAUAUAUAUUUUAAAGGUAAGUAGACACUUAUUUACACGAAAUAUAAUAGAUUUACUUAAAUCCGCUUAGUCCGCCUAGACUCCAUCUAUCUACCUAGGCGCUAGGCUUCAGCCCGCCGCCCGACUAGCGCCUAGCAUCUUUUAGAACCUUAACAAACUCACGAAUCAAUUCCAUCAAUUUCAAAUUUCAAGGACCAAAGUGAAGAGUUAUUCCAAGACACUAGGGAUGUCAAUUCAAACAAUUAGACUCGAUAACCGUGGAUAACCGCCCGAAUGAAGCGGAUUUAAGUAUGAAAAUUCGGGUAUAUUAUGGAUAUAGGGAAAAACCAUGAACUUUAUUCGGUUAUGGUUUUAGAUAUGGGUAUAGAAAUCUCCAAUCCGUAUCCGUCCCGACUCAUAACCAAAUAACUAUAUAUUAUAUGAAUAUAAUUUAUAUAAUAUAUAUUUAAAAGUUUGAAUGCACCUAUACUAUUAUUACCAUAUUCAUUAUUCAUUGCAUAAUAUAUUUAGUAUAUAAUAUAAUAGUAUUCACCAAACCCGAUAUUCAUUAUACAUCAAACAUCAUGCUUAUGGGAGAUAUCAACAGCUAACAUCAUCAAUGUUUUAUUCAAUACUUUUAUUGUAUACUCUACAAAAUUCAUUCAUUGUUAUGUUUCUUAUUAUUAGACGUGGUUAAUUGAUGAUAAAAUUAUUAUCUACUAAAUUAUUGUGCGUCAAUUGUAUGAUUAUAAUUUUUUGUUUUUAACGAAGAUGGAUAUAACAGUUAACAGUGGUGAAGCCACGUGAUGGCGAGGUGGCGGCCGCCACUCCCCUCGUCAGGAAAACAGGACUGGAGCACUGGUUCAGCUCAUCCCCUUGCAGGAAAACUCGACUGGUUCUGCUGCUGCUGCUCUCCGGUUUUGAUUCUGCUGCUGCGCCUAUCGCCGGAAAAGAAACCCAGGUAUUAUCAUCGAAUAUCGAAGAUUUAGUCGAAAUAUGGGCCUUUUCUGUAUGAGCCGGAGCCGCGACUGUUGUAGUAGCGGCAGUUCAAAUGAGUCGCGAGGAAGAAGAAGAUGGCUUUCUAUUUAACUUGAAACGCACAGUUUUGAUUUGUUGUGGCUACCAAUGGAACUACAGCUGUAAGCCACUUUUGAUUUUUUUUCUUCAUUUUUUAAUUUUUGUCAAUAUUAUCAAAAGAUUUCAGAGUAUCAUUUUUUAUUAAUUAAUCUAUGGUUAGAGUUUUAUAAAAUUUUGAUAGUAUCACACAUAUGUUAGAAAUGUAUAAUCCAUUCUAGCUAGUAAUACCUUUCAUCUCAUACUAUCAUAUUCAUUAAAAUAGUAAAGUGAAAUUUCUAAUAUUCUUGUAUUUUAUAUGUUAAAUAAUAAACAGGAGAAAAUAAAUUUGAAUCUCUAAUACAAGUAUAAUCCUUUUAAGGUGUAAGACAUUUGUUUAUAUGGUAUAUAAUGAAUUUACUUAAAUUCAAUUAUACCUUUGUCUAGGGUCUAAUCCCCAAUUCACCUCCCGAUUAGCGUCUAACAUUUGUUAGAACCUUGACUAUUAACUACAUUAAUAUUAUCUACUAUCUACAAUGAUUUGGUCGUCUACAUUUUUCUGUUUUAAAUUCCGCCCCUCCCCUUGACUAUUCAUAGCUUCGCCACUGACCGUUAACCGAUGGGAAAUAUGUUACCCGAUGGAUAUGGUUAUAGAUAAUUCCUGAUGAUUAAUUUGCGGUUAUGAAUAUAGUUAAUUUUCAUGAUUAUGAGAAUGGAUAGAGCAUUUAUGUCCCCAAACCGAACCGUUGUCAUCUCUACAAGACACAAUUUUAGUUAAAAUGCCUUUUUAAUUUAAUUAACCAAAAAGAAAAACAAUGACACGUGCCGAAGAUGGUAAAAUUAGUAAAUCUACAAACACUCUGAAAAUGUUUCCCAAGUAUUUGUCAGAAAACUGAAUAAUUGGCACGUACAAACACAAGUACUGGAGUACACGUUAACUUACGUAGAAACAAAACCGAUGAAUAAUAAUGCACACUGGCUAAGUUGGUAUGAUAGAUGUUCUAGCAAGUGGAGAGCAAAAACAAAACUUGUGAUUAGCAAGGUCCCUCAUCGAUCACCAGCUGUAUAUCAAUAUAUAUAAUUCAUCGGCAUAUUUUAUAUACAAUAUUUGAAGAUUUGUAUCUAUUCAUUAUAUAUAUUUCAAAAUUUAAUUUUAUAUAAUAAUAAUAAGUGUGAUGAUGAUUAUUAUUGAGGGUGGUGAAUAAAAAUACUUUAUAAAACACGAGGAGAAAUACAAAAAGAGAAAACAAGUGUGCAAAUUCAACCCCUUUUUCGUACUUAGCGCAUCUUUAAUGGAGAAAAACAAAUUUGAGAUGUAAAAAGCCAUGUUAACAAGUUAUUUUAUAUUUUUGGAAGGUGUAAAUGUUAGUUCUACUCCAAAGAAAGAUAUGAAAAUUUGGGACUUCACUUAUUGUUCUCUAUUUGACAGGGGGAAGCCCACCUCAAAAAAUGUAAAAAAAUAUGCAAAUUUGCAUUUUUAUUUACAUUUUUCAGCGAACAUGGAUAUUUUACAUCCAGUCAUAUGAGUGUUUUCCGGCCAAAUCAAAAUAUAAAAUGUCAAAUUCAACGCAUUUUGCAUCUUUAAUUGAAGAUGUUCUUAUGCGUUCGGGUCAAAAAUUAUAAAGUUGCACCGAUUCAAUCUCGGAUUCAGUUGAGUUGAUAGCAGUACGAGAGGGAUAAAUUUUCUAACGUGCUCAAUGUUGAAGCGGAUACUUUACAUAUUAUAGAAUAAUUGCAGGAAAAUAAUUUUUUUUUUUUUUCUAUCCAUAUUAUGACUUUUGAAGUAUCACUUGAAUAUCCGAGUCUUUCAAAAAUAUCUCAUAAAAGGAAUCUGCAUUUGUAGGAACUGUUUGCUUUUUUUUUUUUUUACUCAAUUACCUUCGGGCAAGGAUUGUAUGCCCUUCACUUUUGUUUCUUUUUCCGUGCCCUCCUGUUUUGUGUGAUCACGGUUAAGGCACGUCAAUAUUUUUUAUUGUUUUUUUUAUAGAUAUAAUAAGACAAAAAUGAAUAGUAAUAUAAAAUAUUAACGUGGUUUAACCGUGAUCACACAAACAGAAUGGCACAAAAAUGGCACCGAAAGUGGGGGCAGACAAUCCUUGUCCAUUACCUUCACUCGUAUCCAUCCAUCCCCAUAAUUAAUUGCCAACGUCAGAGUAGCUCGUCCGAAUUCCAGAAGCAUUUAAUAACAUUUUACCAUCACCACAAAAAUUUGGGAUUGGGUUAAUGCACAUUCAUCCAUUCAUUCAAUCUCUUCAAGUUUUUAUUGGUAUAUUUUCGAGUAAGGGUCUGCCAAUUUAAACGGGUAUUUUAUUAGAAAGAUAAUAUAAAUGAUAGUAUAAAUAUAUGGUAUGAAUUUUUUAUAGAAACACUUUCAUAAUAAGCACAUGUUAUAUGCUUAUUCAAAAAACAAUUCGCCUUAAGUUAUUGUCACACAUCUAAUAAAAACGUUUAUGCGUUUAUAAUAUAUUAAAGCGCUUAUGCACAAAGUGCUUCCUACAUAUAGAGUUGUAAACGAGCUUUAAGUUCUUUUCAUAAAUGGUAAUAAUUUGUUGAUAGUGAAUUCUAUGUAAGGGAAUUAAAGCCUUGUUUCGCCUAAUAGUUUAAAGAAAAAUGAUAGGGAAACCCUCUCAAAGUGAGACUCUUUAUAAACUCUUUGUUAUCUUUUUUUUUUUUUGCACAGUCUUUUAUAAUGUUGGUACGAAAAUUGUGCCAAAUAUAUGAGAUGUCAAAAAGUCUAUAAAGAGUCUAACUUUUAAGAGUCUUCUUAACAUUUAUCUAGUUUAAAUGGACGAAAUCAUAAUCAUAUACAUUUUCCCUCUUUUUUUUUUGAAAGGAGUAUGAUAUUCAUUGAAGAUUGAAAUACGUACAAACUGAGGAUAGGGUGCUUACAAUGGGACUCGAUAAAAACCUUGCCGGGGCUUUUAACCCGAGCGAAGGGAAAAAGAGCAUCCCGCACCAAAUUAACUACUAGUAUUAUCCUCUAAUACUAAAUUAGAAAUUACAUCAGGAGGUUAUUCAAACCAAAAAACUGGGUGAUGAACAGUGAGACUAAACCGUGCAAGGAGGUGGGCCACCCUAUUCGUCUCUCGUCGUCCAAAGGUGAUUUUCCAUUGCUUGAAUUCCUGCAAAAGCCUCCUAGUAUCAUCAAAUAUAUGUCCAUAGUGCCCAUGAAUUGUCGCUCCUGCAUUUUGAAUUGCAGAAGUGACCAACAGUGCAUCCCAUUCCACAUGGACCUGCUUCGUGAUCCACCUGCGCAAAAAAAAUAGCUGCUUGUCUAGCAGCCGUUGCCUCCACAUGAAAUGCCGAUCUCACAACACCUUAUCUACUCACCUGUGCUGCCAUAAACCUGCCAUCCGAGCUCCUCACUACCAGCCCACACCCUCCAAUCGACUGCUGCUCAUCCCAAGACGCAUCAAAAUUACAUUUUAUCCAGCCAUAGGCCGGCAACUGCCAUUUAGUUAAAAGUUCCACAGAGGUAUGCACAGCCACCUCAUUCCAUUUUCCCUCUUUUUACCCAAUUGUUUUGUUAUUUUUAACUUUUAAAUUAAAUAAAUUAAAACAAAAUAUUAGAGAUGAUGAAAUGUAGAUGUGUAAAAAAGUAAAAUGGUCCCUCAAAUAAUAAUGGGUCAUUUAAACUAUUGCGAUUAAUUUUGAGUUGGACGGUCACGUUCUCACGUAAUUUAUUUGAAACAACAUUACUUUGGCCGUACUCCUCCUUCCGUACGAUCCAUAGAAUGCCUCUGGUGAAACCAUCAAGUCCACACCACCACAAGAUGAGAGAGGAUCGCCAAGUCCUCUUUGUAAGGAUUCCGGAGAUCCUCCAAUCAGAUUCGAUUAUCGUGUAUCGUACAAUCAAUUUUUGUUAAAUAUGAUUUAUAUUUAAUUUUAAAUAAAAAAAUUUAUAAUAAUUUAUAACUUCACAAUAUACGAUAAACAUAUAUGAUUGGAGUAUCAGAAUCGUACGUCGACGACACAAACAAAGGGACGCGUCUUUACAGCCUGGCUUUGCCUCUCCCUCUUCUCCUCAUUCCAUUCUUAUUCUAUUUCUCCCCUAGCUGCAUAGCAUCAUCUCUCUCACACUCCAUUCCCGGGUCCCACAACUCCACUACGGAAAUACCCAUAUUACCCCCACCACAUCACACCAUAUUACCAUAACAACCCUUCUCUCUCCUCCAAUUCUAAAGGUAAAGCAAACUCUACACUCCCAAUUUCUUCACUCAAAAGUUCAAAACUCCCCACGGCAACGAGACCAUGCCACCGGGCCAUGGUCCUCUCCCCCUCCUCCUCCUCCUCGCCGCCCUCUUCGCGACCGGGACCGUACAAUUCCUGGUGAAUUCCGCCGCCGUCGAGCUUCCUAAGUUCCGAGAAGCACCUGCAUUCCGCAACGGACGAGGAUGCCCCCGCACGGCAUGGUCCUCGCUGGACCAGCACUCCCACUACGACCCCUCCAUCAUCCACAUCGCCAUGACAUUGGACGCCACCUACCUCCGGGGCUCCGUUGCCGGCGUCUUCUCCGUCCUCCAGCACGCCACCUGCCCCGAAAACAUCGUCUUCCACUUCAUCGCUGCCUCCCACCGCAACCGCCGCUCCUCCGACCUCCUCCGCCACGCCAUCACUUCCACCUUCCCCUACCUCACCUUCCACGUCUACCACUUCGACUCCAGCCUCGUCAGGGGCAAGAUCUCCUACUCCGUCCGCCGCGCCCUCGACCAGCCCCUCAAUUAUGCGCGCAUCUACCUCGCCGAUCUCCUCCCCUCGGGCGUCCGCCGCAUCAUCUACUUCGACUCCGACCUCAUUGUCGUGGACGACGUGGCGAAGCUGUGGCGGAUCGACCUCGGGCGGCGCGUGCUAGGGGCGCCGGAGUACUGCCACGCCAAUUUCACCAACUACUUCACCCCGAAAUUCUGGUCGAACGCGGCGUUCGCGGCGGAAUUCAAGGGGCGGAGGGCGUGCUACUUCAACACCGGGGUGAUGGUGAUCGAUCUGUGGAAGUGGAGGGAGGGCAAGUACACGCAGAAGCUGGAGCACUGGAUGCGGGUGCAGAAACGAUGUCGUAUCUACGAGCUGGGCUCGCUGCCGCCGUUUCUACUGGUGUUCGCGGGUGACGUGGAGGGGGUGGAGCACAGGUGGAACCAGCACGGCCUCGGCGGUGACAACGUGGAGGGGCUGUGUCGGGACCUCCACCCGGGCCCAGUAAGCCUCCUGCACUGGAGCGGGAAAGGGAAGCCGUGGCUGAGAUUGGACUCCAAGCGGCCGUGUCCGCUCGAUAGCUUGUGGGCCCCCUAUGAUCUGUACCGUCACUCGUCAUUGUUCUCUGAUAGCUGAGGGUGCCUCACGAAUCACGGAGGCGCUCUGUACCGAAUCCGUACCACUGCAAGCAUGUGAUCGGGGAAGAGGAUGAAUUGCGACAGUGCGUUAUUUUGUGUGGGCCCGUUGAGGCAUGGGAUUUUACGGCGGUUAAAACGGAGAUUUACCCCCGAAUUGUUGGGUAGAUGACACGUGUUCAAGACAUAGGAUAAAGGGGUUUUGUUGUGGAAGGUCCAGGAUGGUCUGUAUUGGUACGCUGCGUGGGGGCGUAUACAUGGUCGGUGAAGAUUCGGAAUUGUAUAUUUUUUGGUUUUUUGGUUUGUAGUGAAGACUAUAGUAAUAUGAAACGUUGGUGGUUGAAUUUUUUUUUAGUAUGUACCCAUGUAUAAUACAUUAGCAUUCUUAAUUGGUUAGCGUUGGAUUCUUGGUUGCACAUUCAAUAGAAAUUUCGGUUUGAUGUUUUAGGAAUGUGUUAGAUAUUAUUUGUUUUUAUUCAAAAAAUUACAAUUUGAGUUUCUUAUUUGAUACGUGCGAGCAUGGCUUAUAUAAGGCUCGUUUGUAGAUACUUUUAAAAUGAUUGAAAGUGUGUUUGAUGAAAUUGACGUUGGUUUCCAAAAACUUUUUAAGUGCAUUUUGGAAGAAGCACUGUAUAUGUGUUUUUUUUCAGGAUUUACUUGAAUAUUUACUAAGAAUUGAUAUUAAAAAUAUUUUAAACAAAUAUAUUUUUAGUCAUUUUAAAAACACUUUCAAAUGAUAUCGUAGUUACAUGACCGAACGAACUCGUGUGUAUGGAAAGGAAAGGCGUAUGCGCAAGAAAUGUUUAAUGUUUUAAUCUGAAGUGAGUGUGACUGUUGAGAUGUUCUUCGGUGCAAUUGAAUGAAGCCAUGAAUGAAGGUGGUUGCAUAUCUACAUGCCCAAGUCCAAAUAGCUUAAGUGAAACGAGGAUCACGAAUGCGUUACAUAUAAAUAUGAACAUCGUAUUUAUUUAUUUAUUUAUUAUGAUGUGAGCAUUGUGAGCACCGACCUAGUGGAUGAUAAAUGCACCCACCUUCAAAUGUGUUUUAGGCGAAUAAAUUAUCAUGCGAUACUAAAAUACGAUUAUGUGGUAUUUUUGUGUUACAAUACAAGUGAAUAUUAAUUGAUGAUAUAAUUUGACAAAAAAAAUUGAAUAUUAUAAACUAGUCGUUUACUUAUAUUGUAACGCUUAUCGAAGCAUCAUACUAAUUUUUUUUUUCAUGUUGCCUAUUGUUCAUUGUACUAAAAAAAAGAUGAACCACAAUAAAAGCAUGUUUACUUAUUAGAAAGACAGCCUCUUCGGUGAGGGUUCCUGAAAUAAUUUUAUUUGAGGGACACCUUGUGGUUUUCUGAUUUCGUAACUUUUUUCAACGAUUCAAACAAUCUAUAUUUUAGCACAUCGUUCAUAUAUCAUUCCUGCAAAAAUUAGAUAAAUACAGAACCAUGAAAACGUCCACAUGUAGUGAAGAAAAUAAACGAAUAUGAUUUUUCAAAGAAACAAUAAUACAAUUACCUUUUAAUCCAAAAUUUAAAUGGAUUCAGAUUUGAGUGAUUUUUUUUUUUUGUAGAUAUUAUCUUUAAGAGAAAACUUAAAAGAUGAACAGUUAAAUCGUUGAAAUACAAUGUGAAGUGAGUGCUACAACCGAUUCCCCAGCGGAAGAGGACUGCUUAAAAUGAUAUGCAAGUUAUGAGUAGGGGUGUGAUAUCCACACACCCCAUUUUACUUCUCACACACCUUUUUAAUUUUCGGCCGUCGGAUCGGAUGAAUUAAAGAAGAUCAAUGGACAAAAAUUAUCAAGGGAUAUGUGAGAAGUAAAAUAGGGUGUGUGGAUAGCACACCCCUAUGAGUAUUAUCCUCAAUCUUGGAAUAUCAUGCAAUUACUAAUACAUGACGAUUUUUUUUAAAGGACUUUUUUUUGCCAUGUCACUUGAAACUUUACGAUCUCACCUUGUUCUAUUUUAUGUGCACAGUGCGAAAGCGAUAAAUAUAGCAAACAUACGAAUAAUUAAAAACCAUAUUACUAGUGUGCACUUCUAAACAGAAAGUGGUAGGAGUUAAGUAUAACGUAACACUCCUAGUCAGAGCAUAAAGUCUAGGUGCAAUCCAGUAGGACAAAUACUAGUUAUAUAGUACCAGGAAUGUCGUACUAUUAUAUGGAUAAGUCAGAACUGCCGACGUCAUCUACCUACCAACAACAAUCUUACUUAAAACCUGGAGGGGCGCAAAACAGAAAACGUGAGUAGGCGAAAACAAAUGUUUUACAAAAUCAUUUCAUUUAUCAACAUAUCUAACCCCUCGCUGUAAAACAGGUAUAAUUUUCCCAGAAUCAAGAUGUAAGCAUAUAUAUAUAUAUAUAUAUCUGAAAUCAUAACCAUUCAAUUCAUGCUUCACAUAAAUCAUUUAUAUGUAUGCCAUGCCAAAAUAUAAUAAGUAACAAUCCAGGUAAUAAUGAUUUCAUAGAAGUAUGACAUGUUAGCCGGAACUCCUGAGUAGUUUGUACGGCUGAAUUCAUAGCUUAAACUCAAUAUAGUCGGAGUCCACUACUAUGACCUAUACGGCAAUAUACUGCACAUAAGUUGGAACCAGUAAAAAGGGUCUGUACGACAAGGUUGGGUGAGAUACAGUUAUGCUCAAUUAUACUUUCUCAAUACUAGUUGUGCGAUAAUACGUUAGUCACCUACGAGUUGGAACCACCUAUAGUGGUCUGUACGACAAGACUGUGCACCUAAUUGGAUCCAAUGUGAGCAUAUGGUGUGGGAUGUGACAUAAUUUACAGGCCUAUGCCAACUCUCUCUGGAUAAAUCGCAAUCACCCGAGGUGCAGAUUUAUGAGCUCAUCGUUUCUCAGUCACAUCUCAUAUAUCCAACCAAACAUGUUCAUCACGCUACUCAAUUCUUCAAAUAAACUUAUAUCUCAUUUAUUUCAUGUCAUAUAUUGUAUGGCUGCACCUAACAUUUCGUUAGGCUGCCUACGUACCAAAAACAGGGAUCAAGCCGUUCGUAGUUCACAUAUACCAAAAAUAACUUACCUGAACUUACCUGUGCCUUCACAACACCACAAUUAUAUAUAUGUGCAACCAUGAAAUGCAUAUUCAGAAAAAUAAAGGCAUUUGGCAUAUUAUUUCAAAGCAUACUUUCAUUUAAAACACAUUUCUGGGAAAUAUAUCAAGUAUAUAAUUAUAUACUGAAAACAAAAGCCCACUCACUGGUAUGUCGACGGUUCGUAGCCCUCAAGUCGCCCGUGGAUACGCUCGUCCUCGGGAUAAGUCUAACCUAUAUGCGAAUUAACUAUAAAAACGUUAUUUUAAAGCACAUAGAUAAAACUAGCUAAUAAAUUCUUAUACAUUGCUCAAUUUGGGUAUAUGAAUAUACCACAGUGAUCUACUCGACGUCACGGACGUCGAGAUAUUUUUAAAAUAAUUUUCCUAGGGCCCAUGCGCCCUCACGCGCCGGGGAGGCCACGGUGCCACGCGCCCCCCACGCGCAUCAUCUUCUUCGUCCAGACGCCGGAAAACUGGGCAACCCUAUAAUCGACGAUUUCUCACUCGUUUCUACACCAUUUUCCAUGAAAUUUUCACCAGAACUUCACAAACUUCGAGAGGAAAAAGGCUUAUACCUUUUAAAACUUCCAAAUCCUUCAAAAACUCGUCGGGACAAUUUCACCAAAACCGGCCAACUUCGAACCUUGUGAUCCCGACGUCCAAAACCUUCAAACGAAGCACUCCGAGCUUCCUUGGGACCUCAUUAAGCUCGCUAUAAGCUUGGAUUGUCCUAAAACACAACCAUUUAAAAGUUCAUGAAUAUUGCUCAACUCGAAGCUUGAGUUUUCAACGUGAUAUCGAACGAGUUAUUACCUGAAAUGGGUACCUUUGAACUCUUAGGGUCCUCACGAACACAAUGGUACCAUUUUCUUCCUCGAUCUAUGAAGAUUUGGCUCAGUUUCAAGGUGGUCCGUAAGGAUGAGAGGGAAGAGAGAGAGUGAACUGAGAGGGAGGGUACGGGAGUGAGAGAGAGAAGGUGAUGUGGAUGUGUAUGUGUGGUCUAGAAUUAGUCAACAACCCAAAAUACACAAUAUACCUAAUCCUAAUUGGUCCAAAACAAUUAGGAUUUGAAAAUAGUGAUCCAUACACAACACUUAGACCACAUCACACAAUUUAACGUCCAUGGGUAUUUCCGUCAUUUCACACCAUUAAGGAUAAAAUAAUACACAUCUCCGGGAUGGACUGUGACAUCAAAUAUUUAACCUGGCAUGAUUAGAACUCACUUAUAGAUGAGGAUCCUCUUUGUGGGGAUCAUAGGGAUCCUCAUAUCAUGGUUGUUCAUCGUACAUCGUGCAAUAAGUUUUCGUUAAGUACUAUUUAUAUUUAAUUUUAAAUAAAAAAUUUAAAAUAAUUUCUGACCGCACGAUGUACGAUAAACGGUUAGGAUGUGAGGAUCCCCACAAUUUGAAUCUGGAUGGGAUCCAAAAUAAUAUAAAAAAAGGGUUUAAUAUUUUCUAAAAUUAAAGAAAAACAAAAAUCUCCCCUCCCCAAGUUGCCAUGAAUCUUAACUCUCUAAGUGAGACUCAAGUUGAAAUGAAGUAUGACACACCCAAGCAAUCAAGUAAGUGAAACAUCUAAAAAAAUUAAGUUGGGUUUUUUAUUUGGCAAUCAUGGAUUUUGGAGGCCCAUGUUUUUAUCCAGCCCAACCAAAUAUUUCUUCUCCCCCAGCCCAUAUACACACAAGUCCACUUCAACCUGAGGUACAAAGCGAGACAAAGAAGCAGUGCGAAAACAGCCUUACCUGCAUAUCCUACUUUGACAAGGAAGGACUGUUGGCUCAGUCCGUGAUGCAGGACCUGAGGUUGCAUUAGGUAUACAUAACUAGGUUAUGGGGAGGCUGCCAAAUGGAUUCUUCGGCUAUUCGCGCGAUCAGGAACCGCGCAGAACGGUGUUUUCACAGAAGCUCAGCUCCUGGACCUUAGAGUUUGUACUUGAACUUGAAAUAUGGAAAAUGAAAUGAUUUUUGCACUCCCAUUGUCUCCUCUGCACUCCUCCCUUUGUUUCUAGCCUUUGCGUUUGAACAAAUCGAAGGAGAAUCGACACGCAUAAACACGAGGAGUGCAGAAUGAGAAUAGAGGAGUGUGAAAAUCACCACCCGUUCGGAGAUCAUUAAAGUUGCAUAUCACCACCCGUUCGGAGAUCAUUAAAGUUGCAUUCCUUUCGGGAGUUCAUUUGUGUAUAAUGUGCAGGAAAUGGAGCCUAAGAGUAAGAAGGCAAGUGCACCAGGAAGGAAUGCUCUGGCUUCAGCUCUUUGGCUGCAGAGGAAGAUGGUAAAGACGUUGAGUGAGAGCAUGGAUGAGAUUAACAGCCAUGGGAAGCGUCUCUGGUGGAGCAGGUGGAUCGCCAUAGAGGAUUGAUUCGAGUUUGUGAAUUACCUGGAAUCUAAUCGAGACAUAUUUAUACCUUGAACAGUGGUUUGUGUUAUUUAUGAGCACACUUGCAAGGACUUUCUUUGUGCAUUUGCAGAGUCCUCCAUGACUUCAACUGCAACCAAGCAUUCCCAGCCUUUCUACUAGAACACAAAAAAGGGAGAAAAAUAUGUGUAGGUUACGCCAGUUGACAAAAGCAGUGUGCCACAAGUGGAGAGUGUAUGAAUCUGUAACGCAGUGAGUUUAGCGAAUGAACUCGACAACCGGAAUAGAGUUUAAGCAAACCCAUCUCACCCUUCCACCGACAGCAAAACCUGGUGACCCAAACCCAGCUGGCCCGUUUGCACCUUGGGCUCCUAAGUUGCGAUUCCUAAGAAAGCUUAUAUAUUAAUGUAAUUAAGAUUGUACAACUUUAUAAGAAGAAUAAUGUUGAAGAGUUCACGAAUUCUAAGUGAUUUAUGAGAUUAAUUGAGGAUUUUGGGCUAAUUGUCUUGGGUUAUUUAAUCUUUGUAUUCUAAAUUGAUUAUUGAUUUGCUUGAAGGUCAUCAUCAACCAACCUUCGUGUAGAUUUUACUCGGUCAUGACAAAUAUUUGUUCCCUUUUGAGAGCUUUCAAUUAAUAUUUGAGAAAUUCAAUAUGUUUACCGAGAAGCAAAAUUUGUCGCCGACGCUUUGACAAACUGUAGAUACAAUUUGUCUAAUUUUGUAUAUGAUUUUGUAAUUCUCCCAAGGUCGUUUGUAAGUUUUUCUUUCUCAAAUAAACUAUAGCAUUCAAGUAAGCAAAUCCAACAAAAGCGAUUGUAGUCCAUACUAUAUGAUGAAUAAUUGGAUUUAAACAUUCAGGCUGUGAUGAAUAAUCAGAUCUAAACAUUCAGAUCCUCCUCUUUGGACCCCAUUUCGUUCAAUGUUGAUAAAGUACGUAAUUAUAUCAUAUAUUUAUCAUAAACCAGCACUGCUCAUGAUCAUACCAUGCUGCCACGCUGGCUGGGUCUGAUAUAUAUAUGCCAUGCUGCCAACUGCCAUGCUGGCUACGUAGUCAACGAGCAUGCAAAGUGCGAAACAUAAUAAUUGAUUAAUUAGGAAAAACACUGUUAGUACUGCACUUAAAGGCUGUAAUCGACGGGUAAGUCAAGAACGUGGCUAAUUAAUCCUUCAAGAAAAUUAGCUUCCUUCUAAGCAAACCCUGCCAAAACCCAAAAUCCGAUAUCUGCAUGUAAGACUAGAACUGUAGUUUGCCGCUCGAUUCCGUACAUUCCACAGAAAACACAGAUGUUUUUCACAUGCAUGUUAAUUCCAUGCAUACAAGGCAUAAGGUUAAUGCUAGCUAAUUAGCUCCAUUAGUAUUUUCCCUUUGAAUUUGCAGGGAAAGUGGUAUGGAUGCACAUCAGAACUUGCAUGCUGGAAUUAAGGACUUCAAGUUGCUUAAAAUACAAGCAUCAAGAACAGAUAUAUUAUAUAUUUAUGUGUUUGUGUGUGUGUGUGUGUAAACAAUUACAUAUAAGACUCCAGACUUAGAUCAGAUAAAAGAUUGAAAAAAGUAUAUAUGUUGAGUCCAUCACAGGCAAUGGCAUUGUAAAUCACGAGAAGUUCACGUGCAACACUGACCUUGUUGUUUAUUAGUGCAUUUGGAACAACAAACAUAACAUAAGACGCCAGCUUCAAAGCUAUAAAUGCGACACUUAGAAAUUAAUUUAAUCAGCACCAUUUUCUAGCUCUAAUAUGGGGGUAUUAUUUGAGUUCCCAAAGUUUUGUAUCUUAAUACUCUACGUACGUAGAGUCUCUACCAAGUAUCAUACAUACGUAUAUGCCCCUGCAACUGAAAAUGUCUGUCUGCAUGCGCACAUCGCAUGUCUGAGUGACUGAGUAUAUGAACUGUGACAUUGAAAACUAGCUAGGAAAAAAGUUGAAAAAAAGAAGGUAGAACAAAACUAUUUUGUAUCGUCUUUAGUAUCUUUAUUAAUCAUCUAGAGUGUACUGUAGUUUUUAACAAAAAAAUGAGACUUAUACGUUGACCUCUUUGUUGAACGUACUGUAUAUGAGAUAGUACAUAUCUAACAUGCGCAUGACUCUAUGUACGUAAGCAUGGAAUAAGGAUGGAAGAAACUAAGAAACAACUGGAGAUUGCCAUUGCCUGAUUCGAUAUCGACAGCUUGAAAUUGCUCAAUACAGAAUAGAAUAAUGGAUGUACAAUUUGCUUAUUAGAAUUGAGGGUUAUUGGAAGUUGGUCUCCUCAGAGAAAUGGGAGGAGCACGAGACGAAGCAAGUGGGUUGCUUUGCUUUGCUUCUGGUGCAAAAUAAUAUAUUUAUAAUUAAAAGCUAGUUAAUCAGCAGCAUAAUAUCUAUUAGUUUAGAAUAGCGGAAUCUUUGGUCAUGGCUUUUGAUAUUUCACUCCGUUAAUCGCACAGCAGAAUCCCAAAUGCCGUCCAAGCAGGCUUUCGUAAUCACCAUAAUAUUUGGUUGCCCUUUUCAUAUAUUCCUACUGUCUCAUUUAGUACAGAGAGACAACUAUGUCUGUCACAUUGUCCACCCAAAAAACAAUUUCAUCUGCUUAAAGUGCAAGGCUCUGCAAAUCGAGAAGUUCUUCAGUAUAGUGGUAGAUCGUGUCAAGUCAUCCGCCUGAUAAAGAGGCCUUGAAAUCGAGUUUUGCACGAGCUCAUCUUGGUGGCAUCGAAUGCAGACUCACUUUGUGUGCGACUUCUGGACAGGCGAGUGGGCGUGGCACGGAGCCCUACCCAAGAAUUUCUCAUGUAAAUCUUACUCUCUCAUCGUCCAUGUUGCCCUACUUUGCAUAUAUAAAUAUCAUGACUCAGCAAAUUCAACUUCUACCCUUGAAUUAAUAUUUCUAAAGAAAAAUCCAAGCAGGAAAAAAUGUACCGUGUUUUGAGAAAAUUAAACCCCACUUCUGUUUUUUUUUUUUUUUGUGGGGGUGGGGGGUGGUUUGGGAGGAAGGGCCGGCCCAGGCCCAGUGCAGGAGGGGCAACCGUCCAGGGCCCAAAAAAAUUAGGGGCACCAAAAUUAUUAGGGUGAUAUAUUUACAUAUGUUUUUAUAAGAGUAUAAAUUUAUAAAAUUUGAUUCAAAGACACAUAAAUUUAACUAAAAGUGGUGGUUUGUCAUUUGAAAAUAAUAAAGAGGUCUUGGGUUCAAAACACCAUGUGUGCUUAUUUACUUUCCUUUUUUUACAAAUUUUUUUUAUAAGAGUAUAAAUUUAGAAAAUUUGGUUAAAGGAUCAAAAAGUUUAAUUAGAAACAAUGAUUUUUGUUGUUUAAAAUUAACAAGUGGUCCUAAGUUCGAAAUGCUAUGUGCAUGUUUAUUCUUUUCAAUUUUUACAAAUUUUUGUUUGGUUGGUAAUUUAUUUUUAGUUACUAUCUAGUAGCUAUGUGGGUUGUUAUUUUUAAAUAUUCGUUUUAAUUCAAGUCUAAUCUUCAACAAAGAAUAAUACGUAGACCAAAUUUGCAAAUUAUAUGAUGUGUCAUCAAAAUGUUUAAUUUAGUACCCAUUCAUUAAUAAUACAUAUUAAUUAAGAUUCGAAAACAUCAUUAUUUUUUAGUCCAGUAUUGACAAGUUUAGUAAAUAAGAAAAAAACACCUCACGAUUUAUUCAAAAACACAUUCAAAGUUCAAAUGGAAAACAAAACUCAUCAUCUAUCUACUUGUAAGCCCGCAGUUUUUUUGUUUCUCUCUCUCAAUACAAACUAAAUUAGUCUUUCUGUGUUUCUAAAUUAUUGAGUUUGAAGUGUUUUUCUAAGUAUAAUUUUUUCGAUGUCUUAUGUGUGAAAAUAAAUAAUUUUCUUACAUGAAGUAUGCAAUAAUCACCGGAGCAUGGUCCAGGGAAAGUUUAACAUUGCUAUCAAAGCCGUUGUCUUGUCCCUACAUAUAUGCUUCUGUUAUAAACUAUAAGCCUAAAAAUAUGAUGAAGUCACUAAUCAUGCAUGCUAACAAAAGGUUAGUUGAUUAAUAUACGUGGAUUCUUAUGUAGGAUUCAACUUAUCCCCUCCUACUGCAUGUUUAGGUGGAUCCAACACAAAGAUAAAAAGAAAACAACAAAGAAAUCCACUAAAAACAUAGGGGAGAAUUAGUUGAGGACAUUGUUUGACUCCUUACUUGUUUCAUUCAAGCUCACAUAUAUAGAGAAGUAACUCGUUAAAAGCACAUAAUUAAUGAAACUUUUCUGUACACAUGUAUGUGUCAGUUCGUGUAAAAUAAAGAAUGACUUCAUGUGUGUAAAAGAGUCAGAUAUUUUUCUUAAGUUGGUGUGUCCCGCACCUCAUCAUUUACAAAAUUGAAGGGCAACUCACAAAAAACCAAAAAACUUGCAACCUUAUGGUGAGUAGUUGCCGACCCAUUAUGCUGGUGGGCAAUGCCUACCUCGCGCAUAUAAAUGAUGUAUAGUCCAAUUCAGACCAAUGUAGCACAGCAAUAAUAUUACAUGUGAUGUGAGUGAGAGAUAAGAGUGCUUGCUUGGAUUGUUUUUAUCAUUUUGUGUAAUGUGUUUGCUGAGGUAGGGUAGUAGGAUAAGGCAAGGGAUUCCAAAGUGAGGGAGGGAGGGUGGUGGGGCCCACUUGAAGGGUGUUUGUCGGGUUGGUUUGGGGAGCACUGCCCCAUCCUCCGGCUCUUUUUUAAGACCAAUGUGAUCAAGGACCACACCCACAUUUCUCCUCAUCCGGUCCUUCUCACUCUAUAAGAACCCCCUUUGGCCUCUGCACUUUCAAACCCAACUCACACAAUCUCUCAAAGCUCAUUACCUGCAGAAGCAACUCACUCGCUCACUCACUGCAGUCAACAGACAGAAAGAAAGAAAACCCUAAUUCUCUGAAAUAUGAAGAUGGGCAGCUCUGGCAGCAUGGCAGGCAGCAAGAGAAGGUUGUCUUCGUCGUCAAGCAAAGGACUCGGAGGGGUCCUGCGAGAGCAAAGAGCCAGGCUUUACAUCAUCAGGAGGUGUGUGGUCAUGCUCCUCUGCUGGCAUGAUUGAAAAUAUGACAUGACGAGAGAGGAGGAUUUUGGUUUUUCUUCCUAAUUUUCCUCCUUUUUCUUGUCGUAUCAAGAUCUUUGAUCUUGUUGGUGGAGUUGUAAAUAGCCAGCGGAUGUUUUUAGGAGAUUUGAAGAAAAUUUUGUAUGGGGUUUAGCCUUGUGGGGCUUAGAUAUAUAUGUACAUCGGAAUAGCCUAAAUAUAUAAACUUUGAUAUUGCAUUGUUCUUCCUCAGAAGUUCUUAUGCAUUGAUCUUCUUCUCACUUAACAAAACCACUAUGUUUUACAAUUUGGGAGGGAGUUCCAAGUAUAAUUAAACAUUGAAAAAGGAAAAGGGGUUUCAAUUACUAAAGGAUUCCAUAAAAGGUUAUGCUCCAAUUACAUAUGUCAUAUCACUAGUUGGACACGAUAAAAAAGAUCUCUUUGGAGCAACUACAACCUUGAUUUUCUUAUUUUCUUUAUCCAAUUUCAGCUCCAAAUAAGUGAUGUGGAGUUCUCAAAAUUUUCUUCCUUUUCAAAUGGCUUUGUUAUGUUUCCUAUUCUGUUGAUUAAAAGGCCAAUUAUGACCUAAUGAAACUGGAGCUGUUAAGAAGCAGAAAUGUCUUGUGAGUUCUCAGAGUGUUGUUAAAACUGAAAUUCAAGGGAAGGAAAGAUGUAUGAAAUGGAUCAUAAUUUAGCAUCCACAUUGGAUGUAAUAAUCAUUCAUACAAGGCCAUUAAUCUUUGGCCAAUUAUUAAUUGAGGAUUCAAUUCGUUAAUUUUAAUGUUUAUUUCAGUGUAGUAGAUUAUUUCUGCCUUUUUGGAUUGCAUGUCCAAAAAGUGUUUGAGACAUUCGAUAUAAAGCAUCAAAAUUCAUGAUUAAUGCUUUGACCAAGUCAGCUAAGAACACUUACAACAACAACAAAGCCUUAAUGAUAAAGAUUGACCAAGUUAGCUAAGACCACUUGAUGACAAAAAAUGUACCUUAAAAAUAGGGGUGUGAUAUCCACACACCCAUUUUUACUUAUUACACACCAUUUUUAUUUUCGGCCGUCGGAUUAGAGAAAUUGAAGAAGAUCAAAUGACAGAAAUUAACAAGGAGUGUGUGAGAAGUAAAAGGAGGUGUGUGGAUAGCAUACCCUUAAAAAUAAUCGAUUAAGCCUUAAUCCCUUGUCAUAAUUCCCAUUUUAUAUGGUUGUUUUGCAAGGCCAAUGAUUAACUAAAGAAACAAUGCAAUUGGCCCAUCACUAAUCACUAUAAUAUUAUAAGCUCUUGUUAUGAUCUGCUUGUCUUCAACCAAACAAGCACCAGCAUCUCCUUCCCUCAAAAAAAAAAUAAAAUAAAAAGCACCAGCAUCUCCUAAAAAAUGCAAUUCCCACCUUGUCUUCAAAUAAGCUAUUAUUUUUAGCCAGCAUCCAAACAUGGCCUUGUGAGGAAACUGCUUUUUCGACGUUUGGGUCAAAAACCCAAACUCAAAACUAAAGCUCUCUCGAGUCUCUCCCCUCUCUUUGUGGGCUAGUUGAAUUACUGGGAAGGGAUCAUCUUCGAAUCUCUUCUUCUUAAUUCAUUAAGUUUGGGGAUUCGGGUCUGGAUAUUCGGAUCAUUGAAAUUUAAUCAAACGGUUAAAGUUAUUAUACUUUUUAAAAUGGGUCCCUGUUUGUAACCGUUUGAUUAAAUUUCAAUAAUCUGGAUCCCCGAAUUUGAUGGAUUAGAAGGAAGGGAGGAUCCCUUUCCAAAAUAUUGGAUCCCAGCUCAUGUUCACGUGUGCCACGUGUACGGUUAUGAUGGGCCUACCCCAAAUAGUAUUCCCUUUUGUCUCUUCUUUCCUUAUGAAGCAAGGAGCAGGGGAAGGGUUAAAAGUAAGUCCAGGCAGUCCUACUUUUGGAAUCAUAAAUCAGCACAUAUACUCUCUAGUGUACCAUAAUACACUGCACCCCAACGUAAAAUCCGGACACCUGUCACUAACACUAGAGUCGGUGAAUAACAACCCGACACGUGGACUUCUGAAUGAUUUUUUUUUCAUUUUUGGUUUCUUGUUUUAGAGGAGAGAAGGGUGGGUCAGAAAGUCAGAUGUACAGGAGCCGAAUAAUGCAAUCUAAUAUUCUGUUGUCGGCCACACAGGAGAGUGCCCCCUCUCUGUCUUACUCUUUGAAAUUUACCUCGAUAUAAAAUUUGACCGUGACGGUAUUCUAAUUCAAUUAUGUAUUAUCAAGCGUUUAAACUUGUUCAUAUAACAUUGUCGAGUUAACUCGUCUCCCACUGCAUAAGGGGGAUUCUAGUGUUCAGAAAAUAUUUUGUUGACCGAGAGCUCUCGAGCUUUCUUCUCUGUUAGGCUCACUCGAAUGAAAUGACUCAAUCAGUAGUAGUGAUUGAGUAAGAAAACUCAAAGCCGCGCUCGACAGAAAGUCGGACGCGAAUUGGUUGGUUGAAAACGGCAGCCUUAUCGUGCCCACGUGCGCCUCCCUAAUCUUCAACCCCACCAAUAUAACGUACGAUUCUAUUCUAAUGAAACAUGGGGCCCACGCGUUGUCCCCACAUGGCACAUCCCGUCUUCCUCAAUUUCAUCCAAUAAUGUUAUGCAUACUAAGUGCAAAUGUUACAUCUUGGACCUGGCCGAAUGUCCGUUAGAACUAAAGGUUGUCCCAAAAACAUUUAAAGUUUGAAAAAUAUACUUGUGAAAAAUUUUCGAGAACUUUUUGAAUCUUUGGUAAGAGUCUCUUUUGCACGUCUCGAGUUUUGUUUUUAUUUCAAAACCUUGUCCUUUAACACUAGAACUCACCAAAAUUCGAAUUCUCGAUCUGCCGCUGAUCAUGGGCAUCAACAUUUCAAGUAUAAUGAAUAAGGUGUAGUUUCAUCAUCCAAGUAAGAUGAUGAUGGGACAUUCUCCAAACGCACUUGCCAAUUAGCUGGUUUUUGCUUUACGAUUAUUGGUUGUUGGCUCCUUUCAAACUGCUCCAUCGGUUUGAAAUAACUAAAAACACUUUGUAGUCAUAAAAAACGCUUAUAGCAUCGAUAAAUAAACUUAAAAGUGCUAACUGGUCAUAUAAGCACUUUACAAAACAGACCAACUACGAGCACAAGUACUUUGCUUGGAUGUUAAUUAUGAUAUUUAAUCCAGUCCUGUUGUGUUGGGGUUGUCUCUAAUUCUUAGGGAUUCUUGUAAAAAAGAUGGGUCAUGGCCCAUGGUGUCUCCUCAUGUUACAAGGUGGUUGCUUAUGUGUUAUUAAUGUAGGAUUUAGGAUACAACAUUGUGCUGGCUGCCGACAAAACAAGGUUGCUAAAUCUUCUCUCUAAAAACCCUAACUGCAGAGCAUAUGGCAUAUAUGUAUAUGUUCUUAGCCGUUAAGGUCAAUUGAUCACAAUCAUUUGCAUCGUUCUUAAUGUUUUAAUCCACCAAUUUCUAAUCUUGGGUGGUCUCACUAUUAAUGGUCCAAGUUUUUGAGAUAGAAAUAGAGCGCAUACCGCGGAAAAAAAAAUAUUCAGUUUAUUUACUGAGACAUUUAAUCGAACACUUGAUGAGUAAUAUCGUGAGAAUUCUUCGAGUGUUGUUCAUAUAACUUAUCGAGAUAUACUUAGCAAGUAUUUCAUCAAAUACUUAGUAGGUACAAGGGGGCCCGUACAAAACAUUUGGAGGGUCAUCGGAAGACCUUCACAUGUAUAUUUUAUGAACUCCGGGAGGCCCUAGACCACUUAGGUCCAAGUAUGUAUCCGCCUCUGUUUCGCGAUGUAUCAUGUCUUUAAGAAAGACAAGACGUCCUGCACAGAGUUGAAUAAUCCGUAGGCUCAUUGUUCAGUUCUUUUUCUCGAGCCCAAAAAAGCCAUGGUGCUGUGGUCCUCCUUGUCUACCUUAUAUAGCCCCAUCAGGGCAUCUAAAGAUAAAAAGAAGACCAAUUGCAUUUGCCAAGGGAGAGAAGCAUUAGGCAUGUCUUGCUAAUACAACAGAGGGGUGCCCUACUAUCCAACUAGGUCACUUGCCCUACAACAUGCUACAAGGGCACCAGCAGAAGCUGCUUUUCUAGGUUAGGUCUGAAUCUGGCUUCCCCACAAGCAAUAUCAUAUGCUGCUCAUCAACAAGCACUUUUACCUCAUAGUGCUUAAUUUCACAGCGAGGCUAGGCCCAGUGGUCUCUCAAGCAAUUAUCAAAGACAACUUGCAUGACCUACGCAGCCCUGAAAGUUGAUGAAUGGUUUCAUGGUCCAACCUGUUGUCAUUUGAUUACAUGUGAAAAACUCAUCAGUGUUUUCCUCGGCGUUGACAAAGCAUCGAGUUUCCAAUAAUUUGAUGGUCCACACGUCUCUCGGCUAGUUGAAUUCGUUAUAAUACGGAUGCUAAGCUUUAAAAUCCAAAUACAAACGCAAACCAGAUAAAUAACUGCAUUUUAGCUUGAUUAUAAACAGAGAGCAAAAAGAGUAAGUUCGGUCGAGGUUUGAACACAAAUGAUCAGAGAAUUUCAGUUCACAAACACUACUUUACAACCAGGUCUCACAGUUCAUUCUGUUUUCAGCAAAAAGUUGGAUAUCACGCCGAGCUGAUUUGAUACGUGAAGAUUAAUCAAAAUGUAGCCACAAAAUAUUUACCACCGUGAAACCAUGACCAACACUUACAAAUCCCGAACCAUGUUCAGUCAGCCACCUUGCCACCCCAAGAAAGGAAACUUUCCUGUGACCCGAAUUCCUACAAUGCACGAUUCAGAAAAGCGUUAGCAUAAAGGAAAAUGCAAACAAAACAAAAAGAAUUGACUAAACCAACAAGAAGCAAGACAAGAAGAUUUACCAGCUGGCUAAGUCGGAAAUCUGGAGGUGUAUCGAGUUCCAAAAUAUUAGCAGGAUCGAGGACAAGAUUUUGACAAGCCUCUAGAUCCUUCUUUAAAUCCUCUGGUCCUAGUUUAGCAUAAUCAGCAAGACGGGGGGGUUUGAUGUGCGCUUGUUCACCAUUUUCAUGUCCACCCCUAGUUGGAGAUUGGCUCUGAAGAAGAUCAUCACACAGAGACAACCCUUCCACAAGCUGUUGCGAAUCCAGAAGAUUCUGUGACUCACUGUCCCACCAUUUUGGAUCUUCCUGAGCAAUGUUUUCAGUGUUAUUAAUUACUUCAUCAGCUUGAUUUUCUACCUUGUGUUGGUCAUAAUCGUCAGGCUUUUCAGAUUCAGGACGAACAUCAUCUUCAGCACAGUCCACCUCUGGAUGAAUUUCAUCUAAAGCACGGUCCACCUCAAAAUUAACUUCAUCCUCAUCUUCAGCACCAUCCUCCACACGAUACUUCAAUUGAAUACAGAAGCCAUAAAAAAAUGCCCAUAUCAGUAUCUCUCUGGAUCAUUCACAUUAAUGCCACAUUAUUAUAUCACAUAUUAAUGGAAAACAACAGGGAGAGAAUGUGCAAGAAAGUAUACAUUAGGCCAGGAAUAUAAUGCAAGCAAUAUAAAUUUAAAAUUUUCAAGUUGAAUAUGUUCGUGUCACAAGAAAUAAAAAUGUCUUCUUGUGCUGCUUGUAGAAAUUUGUGAGUAAACAAAAAUUCAAAUUAAGAAAACAAACUAUACCUGAAGAAAGGGAUCUCUGGAAGGAGCAGGAGUAUCCAAUGCCGAAUCAAAAUCACCAAGCUUUCGUUCAGCGCGCGGAGGUUCAGGAGUAACCGACUUGGGAGUGACUGGAUCUACCUUGGUGAUCACUGCAUCAAUACUUUCAGGAACAUCUUGAUCAGUUUUAUCAGCUUCCUUAGCUUCCUGCUGCUGGUAAUAUAUUUUAGAUAUAACAUACUCUCCAUCCUUCUCAUCCUCCUCAACGCCUAGGUGAUAUUGAUGCAUAACCCAAUUGGUUUUCACAGGUUUUCCUCCUCUGAUCGUGCUCAUGUAUAGAACCAUAAUCUUCUUACACCCUCUUUGCACCCCAUCCAAGAUCACUGGUUUAGUCCUUCCAGUCUUGUGCCAGCGGACAUCACCAUCACCAUCAUGUAUCUUUCGACGCUUUCGUGUUCCAGUAUUGUAAGCCUUAAUUGCUCUAUGAAAGAAGUGGGAAGCACUUCCAUCUAGCUUAACACCUAACAUUUAAUUUCAAAUCAAUUAAUAAAAGAUUAAGGGUCAAAGUUUUAAAACAAAACAAAUGUUUCGCACUUACUAGGUAGUUUCCUAGGAUGGGAACAACAGAUUCCUUCAUCGUCGUCAACAGUUAGAAUAAACUCAUCAAUAAAAGGAUGGGGUUUUCGAUCACCUACACCAGAUUUUGCAAUUAAGUGCCAUAUAAUCUCUUGAUCAGUUGGAUCAAAUUUUACACCCUUGGGUAAACCUGGCCACUCUUGAGCAACCUGGAAAGAGAUGGCAAACACCCUAAUUUUCAAAGUUCUUCAAUUUUCGUUAAUAAUAAAUGAACCGAUAACCUGAAACAAACUUCAUUAAAAUAAUUUCCAACAGAGCUUCUCUAACUGAUGGCUUUUCAUUGAUGAACAUUCAACUUUAAACAUAUGGAUCAAAAAAUAAAAACAAAAAUCUUACAUCACUAUUGUCAAUCGUAUGCUGGCAUUUUGGACAAGCUUUAGUUGGGUUGCUUUGCCAUAUAAUCACAUUAGGAUCAUAUCCUCCAGAUGCACUCUUGAUUUUUGUUGCGAUUCUAUUUUUGUCAACCAACCACGAUGGCCUGCAUACAUUACACAAAUGAUUAUACUUGAAGCAAUCAGCUGCUCCAACAUAUGUUCAGCAAAGUAUUUAAACUCCUGAUCUAGCUUAAUUAGAAUAGAUAUUUUAGGUUGGAAGGACACUGAAAAGAUACAUAAAGAUAUAAUCGGCAGCAUGGAGAUUAUUCAGAAGAAACAGCAUAAUUAAAAAGAUUAACCCAUUCAGAAGAAACAUCAUAUAACGGCCAGUAACAGAUCUAAACUAUGAAGUUAUGAACUAUUACUAUCAUCAUAUACAUAUAAACAAAUGGAAUGACCCAAAAUUUGACUAGAGAAACGAAAAAUAAUGUUAGAAAAUAUAUGACAACUUGCAAAGACAUAAUCUUUUGUUGCCGAAACACAGUUCUAAAGCCCGAAUUAGAGGUAGAGGGAUGCAAACACAUAAACCAUUUUAAAACACAAGCACACAUAGGUGAGUCAUUCCAAACUGUGAAUAAGUGAGCUGACACUCAAAGAUAAAGACGUCGAAAGCCAUCUACCACAUUAGCGUAUCAGAAUGACAAUAACAAAAAUCAGACCGAUGAAUGACUUGACGAGAACACAGGGAAAUGGAUUACACAACAUUAUGAAUCCUCCUCAACCUUCCCACCUAGAUAUACUAAAGGGUACAGGCGGAAGUGGGUGUAGCCACAUUGGCUAGAAUGUGCUCCCCUAUGCACCCGAGUUUGAAGUCCCCCUCACACACUUAAGAUUAGUUUAAAGUAUAACAUCGCUUGUAUAACGAAGAACACGUGCAAUUUAAAAACAAAGAUAGAAAGUAAAGGAAUAAUAAUAUGAAUCUAAAGGAAAGAUUCAGCACAGCUCUCAACUAAAUCAAGGUAGUUUCCACUUGUAAAGCUUAAGCACUACCAUUUUGUUAAAGUUGAAAUUUUUCAUGGUACACUCGAUCAAAUGAACAAAUGGGUUACUUCAAAAUCUCGAAUAAACAUAUAAAUCCAAACAAUGUCAAUAAAAUCCCAGAAAAAUCCAUGACAUAUUUAUAGAAGCAUCAAUAUACACUAACAAAAAUUGAAACAAAAAAAAAAAACUAAGAUAAAAGUCAUCGGAAAAUACCCAGCCAUGGAUGAGCGGCGACGAUCAAGAGCCCAACUCAGAGGCAAAGCUUCCGUCUUGGAAGACCGCCGCAGACUUGCUGUUUCUCUCUCUCGCGCUCCGCUUCGUCUGCUUCGACACUGAGACCGAUCGACGCCCGAAGGACUUGGGGUUUUUAUAUUUAAUUCUACUUUGUUUUUCAAUUUACUAUUUUAAUUUACAAAAAAUAAGAAAAAGUAAGGACUAAUAUUAUAUAUUUUUUUAAAUAUUGCUUUUGAAUUUUGAAACCGCGGGUACUGUUUCUUAAACAAUAUUGUAUUGUAUUUUUGUUUUAAAAAAUUAAAGUUAAUUUGAGAGUCGGAUCAAUAAAAAGACUAAAAUGUAAAAAUUCUAAACAUAAGUGUCAAUUUAUGAAAAGUAAAAACCCAGAAUAUUCCUAAAAUUAUGUUUGGGCCCCGUAGAAUGACUGGACCGGGCAGUAGUGAAUAGUAAAGUGUCAAUCCGGCCAAUUCCAUUCCCAAUUUUCCCCAAAUUUCCCACUCUCUUCUGCGUUCGAAUACUGCAAUCCCUAAAACCGCCACCGCCACCGCCAACAUGAGCAGCAGAGCCAGAAACUUCCGCCGCCGCGCCGACGAUGACGAUGAUCAAAACGACGACGCAACCCCCUCAACGGCAACCACCGUCAAAUCCUCGUUAAAACCCUCUUCCGCAUCCUCCUCAAAGCCCAAGAAGCCACAGAAUCAAGGCCCGAAGCUCCUCAGCUUUGUCGACGACGAAGAAAACGCCGCCGCGCCGUCCCGCUCCGCGCCAUCUUCCAAACGCGAUAAGCCCUCUUCUCGUCUGGGCAAGCCCUCUUCAGCUCAUAAGUUGACGGCUCUCAAAGACCGUCUCGCUCAUUCGUCUUCUGUAUCGACUUCUCUGCCGUCCAACGUUCAGCCCCAAGCCGGAACCUAUACGAAAGAAGCGCUCCGUGAGCUGCAGAAGAACACGCGAACCCUAGCCAGCUCCCGACCCUCCUCCGAACCCACCAUUGUUCUGAAGGGCCUUGUCAAACCCACCGACUCAAUCUCCGAUACGCUGAGAGAGUCACGGGAGUUGGAUUCCGAUUCCGACGAGAAGCAUGAGAAGGAAAGGGGUAAUUUGUUUAGGAGGGACAAGGACGAAGCAGAGGCCCAAUUGGCCUCGAUGAGAAUUGACAGGGGCAAGAGGUCACCUGGGUUGUUUCCUGAUCAAGCCACCAUAGAUGCCAUUCGGGCCAAGAGGGAACGGCUCAGGAAAUCGAGGGCAGCGGCUCCGGACUUUAUCUCAUUGGAUUCAGGGAGUAAUCAUGGCGCUGCAGAAGGGUUGAGCGAUGAGGAGCCAGAGUUUCGAGGUCGAAUUGCAAUGUUUGGGGAUAAGAUGGACGGUUCUAAAAAGGGUGUUUUUGAGGAUGUUGAUGAUGGGGUAGUGGAUGCUGGAUUGAGGCAGGAAAGCGUCGAUCAGGAUGAGGAAGAGGAUGAGGAUGAGGAAGAUAAGAUUUGGGAAGAAGAGCAGUUUAGGAAAGGGUUGGGGAAGAGGGUGGAUGACGGGGUGGUCAGCACUAGUGCUCCUGCAAUUCCGAGUGUGCCCCAACCAAAGACUACUUACUCUGCAAUGACGGGUUAUAGUUGGUCAGAGAGUAUGCCUCUUGGGACAAGUAUAGGAGGGGCAAUUGGAGCUUCACAAGGUUCAAAUGUGAUGUCCAUAAAGGCACAGGCGGACACUGCUAGAAAAGCUUUGGAAGAAAAUUUCACGAAGCUUAAGGUAUGAAUUGUUGCUUUUCUGGUCAAGUUGAAUUUUAUAUCGAAAUCUGUCAUAGGAUGAAUAAUUGAGUGAAAUAUUGGCUUCUAGUAAUGUGGUCGUGUAUGUUGCUCUUAACUUUAGUUUCAGCUCACUAGUUAUGGUUUUAAUGCAUGGAUAGAAUGACAUUUUGUUACUUUCCAACAGCUUUUUGUGGCAUUACUGCAUUUGACAAUAAGAACAAAUGUGAACCAUAGAAUGCAUACCUGAAUAUAUGAGCCAUACGUUUGGAAACAAAAAUUCUGCCAAUGUGAGGAGACGCAUUGAUGCUGCCAUGAUAUAUGUACAUUGUAUUAUUUUCUGCGUUUAUAGCAUUUUCAUAUAUAACUAUGUACUCAAAUAUGUUUUGAUCCCUCAGGCAAGUCAUGGAAGAACCAUUUUGUCACUAACUAAGACUGACGAAAAUUUGUCGGCCUCACUGUUGAAUAUUACUGCUCUCGAGAAGUCUCUGUCUGCUGCUGAUGAGAAGUACCAGUUCAUGCAAAAGCUUCGCGAUUUUGUCUCUGCCAUAUGUGACUUUCUGCAGGUAUGCUAGUGUAAAAUAAACCCAGAAAUUUUCUUUUGCCUCCCCUCUCUGUCUAUAGAGAUGCAUUUAAGAAUAAUUUCAUAGGAGUACAGAUGAGGGGAGAAUGGAAACUCACAGGGCCAUUUGUCUGAAAUGAUUGUUAUAUUAUUUUCUCCCUGUGAGAUGAGCACUUCCGUCCACAUUUUGCGAGUUAUAUUCCAUCAUUUAGUACUGUAUGAACAGUUCAUAUACUGAUUAAUUUCUUCUGAUACCAAUAUGGAAUGCCAACUGGAGGGCAUUUCAUUUAGGAUUCUGCUCGAACCAAGGACUUUAAACUGUUGCAGAAUGCAAUGCGCCUGAGUUUUCAAGCUACCUGGCAGUAUAGAUGAAUCAUUGGCUAUUCAAUACAUUUGCAUAUGAUACACAUUAUAAUUCACUCUCUUGCUGAGGACUUAUCGCCAAAAAGUAGGAUACUGUAGGAGGAAUUUGAAAUGGCCAUAACUUCCCAUUGUUAAUAUCAAAAGGGAUUAAUUUCUAGUUUCGUGUUCUUAUAUAAAAAUGUAGACUUAUCUGUUCUUUCCCUAGGACCUUUUUCCCUAAGAAACAUGGCUGAGAAAGUUAACACUGCUUCUUGAAAGGAAACUGGCAGUGGCCCUUCCCAGAUUAGCAGAUAGCAAUUUAUUUAUCCUUGGAAAUUCAAGCAAAGUUGAGGCAACCGCACAAAUGAUUGAUUAAUAUUCCACUGUAGCAACCACAUUUUAACUCUCGUAGGAACAGUUUAACUGUAUAGAAUGAAGGCGCUAACUCAACAUUGGUUACUAUUGAGUAUUGAUAUUCUAUUGGCUUAUCCUUACUGUGUUUAACUGUUUAUUUCAUUUUCUAAAAGAACAUAUUUUUGAGACGUGCCUUAUGACUUCUAGUAUCUACUCAAUGCAUCUUCUUCUAUUUCCAACUUUUCAAUCCCGGUAAGAGCAACAUAUCAUGUUGAUCUGAACUUAUGUAUUCCUGUAAUUCUUCAUUUUCAGGUUAAAGCUCCCUAUAUAGAAGAGCUUGAAGCGGAAAUGCAGAAAGUUCAUGAACAACGUGCCUCAUCUACUAUGGAAAGGAGAAAUGCUGAUGAUGAUGAAAUGAUGGAAAUAGAAGCAGCUGUAAAAGCAGCAAUGUCUAUCAUCAGUAAAGAAGGUAGCAGUGCUGAAAUAAUUGCAGCUGCUAAAAGUGCAGCACAAGCUGCAUCUACUGCUGUGAGAGAACAAACUAAUCUACCAGUGAAGUUAGAUGAAUUUGGUAGAGAUAUGAACCUUAAGAAACGUAUGGAUAUGAAAGUGAGGUAUGAGGCUCGACAACGCAGGAAAAGAACGUGUGAAUCUAAGAGACUGUCAGCCAUGGAUGUGGACAGUUCCCAUCGAACAAUAGAAGGAGAAUCAAGCACCGAUGAGAGUGACAGCGAGAGUCAAGUAUACCACAGACACCGCCAGUUGGUGCUCGACACUGCAGGUAAAGUAUUCGAUGAUGCAGCAGAGGAAUAUUCUCAACUUUCAGUGGUCAAAGAAAGGUUUGAAGACUGGAAGAGAGAGUAUGCAUCAAGCUACCGUGAUGCUUACAUGUCUUUAAGUGUUCCUACUAUCUUCUCUCCAUAUGUGAGACUGGAGCUUUUGAAGUGGGACCCCCUCCGUGAUAAAACAGAUUUUCUAAACAUGAACUGGUACUUGUUCAUAAAUUCUCAGUUUUUUAUUUAUUUCACACCUCUAGAAAGAACACUGAAGCACACAGAAGUAGUGCUGCUCGCAUACUCACAUCCUUCUAUUAAUGUUCUUUUCUUCUGUUCAGGCAUUCAUUGUUAAUGGACUAUGGUUUACUGGAGGAUGGAAAUGAUUUGGCAUCAGAUGAUGCUGAUGCUAACCUUGUCCCUGAUCUGGUGGAAAAGGUUGCUUUACCCAUUUUACAUCACCAAGUUGCUCACUGUUGGAACAUUCUCAGUGUGCGAGAGACCAAGAACGCAGUUGCUGCCACAAGUUUGGUAACAGAUUAUGUUCCACCUUCUAGUGAGGCCCUUGCUGAUUUAUUAGUUGCUGUUCGCACCCGUCUGGCUGAUGCUGUCACAAAUCUUACGGUACAAUUUUUGAAUUAUCAAACUAAAAUUUUAAGACAUUUAAUCAGGCCUAUGCAGGGAUGUGUUUUAAAUAUUUAUGCAUUAGGGUGGUGUUAUCCACACACCCAUCUCAAUUUCUAGCCGUCGGAUUGAAUGAAUUGAAGAGGAUGAAAGGAAAAAAAAUUAACAGGCGGUGUGUGGAAGGUAAAAAGUGGUGUGUGGAUAGCACCACUCAUGCAUUGAGCAUGUACAUUUUAUGUAAGUGAUCUAAUUUAUAUUUUCCUUCCCUACCUGUCCACUCUAGAUUCUAAGUCUGAGAAACUAUGAACCAUGAGCUUACACUGACCUGAUGUUGAUUAAUUUUGAUUGUUUCCAAUGUAUAGGUCCCAACAUGGAGCCCAAUUGUAUUGACAGCAGUGCCAGAUGCGGCACGGCUGGCAGCAUAUCGAUUCGGUAUGUCUGUUCGUUUAAUGAAAAAUAUCUGCUUGUGGAAAGAAAUCCUUGCUUCUCCCAUUUUAGAGAAGCUUGCUAUUGAGGAGCUGUUGUGUGGUAAAGUUCUACCUCAUGUUCGAAGCAUUGCUGCAAAUGUUCAUGAUGCUGUUACAAGAAUUGAAAGGAUUGUUGCUUCUUUAUCUGGGGUGUGGGCAGGCUCAAAUGUCACAGGGGACAGCAGGUAGUGCUUCAACUAACACAGAUUAAUUCCAUGCGUGAGUGUGCUUAUUAUAUGUGUGCAUGUUAAGUAUGAUAGUAUGAUUUUGCAAUAGUUACAUCUACGUCGCAUGUCUGUGAUACAUACUUGAGUUCAACUAAUGAUGUGAAGGAUGUGACACGUUGCUCCCAACUAAUAUGGUUCUUCAAAUUGACAAGAAAUAUAGGCUUCUCCUUUCUUUCCAUUCUCUACCUCCCUCAUCUUGUCCGAGGUCUUCCAUACCUUUACAGGGUAACGAACUUAGUACAAGUUGAGGCUAUUACCUUAUAAACUUUUCAUUGCGCAUAAAUGGUUUGGACAGAGUUGAACAUCAUUUUUAUCAUAUACCGGCUUUACAUUCCCUUCAAAGCAUAGCAAACUUAUUUACUUAAAAGAGUAGGAACUGCUAAGUCUAAUUAUAAUUUGUGAGAUGUCAAACUUAAAAUGCUUAGGCCUUCUGGAUUUUUUUUUUUUUUGCAUAAGUUUUCCUUCCCCCAUCUCCUUCCUUUGAGCUUCCUUUUUCGUUGUUUUGGUUUUUCCCUUAAGUUUUAUAUGUUAACCAAUAGAUGAGUUAAUAAAAUGACGAUUAUACAUUGGUGUACUUAUACUGCCCUUUACUACAUGUUCAAAGCUCUUAUUCAUUUGCCUAAAAAUUCAACUAUUGUGCAGCCGUAAGCUGCAACCGCUGGUGGAUUAUGUGCUCUCGUUGGGUAGGACUCUGGAGAAGAAGCAUUUGCUUGGCGUGACACAAAGUGAAACUGGUGGACUUGCCCGUAGAUUAAAGAAAAUGCUGGUUGAUCUGAACCAGUAUGACAAGGCUAGGGACAUAGCAAGGACUUUCAACCUUAAGGAGGCAUUGUGAAUCAUUAGAAGCCUGAAGAACUUCAAGAGAAGCACACAAAAAUUGUCAAGGGUUGCGGCUACAUUUUUGAGCUAUCCGUCUAGAUAGGCACUUCAAACAAACACAAAGUGCAAAUCUUUGACCUAAAUAUGAUGAAGUCUUAGAAGAUAACUCUGCCCCUUAUCCCUUUUACUUUAGUUCCCACACUGGGGGAGAUGCGCUUUGUGGCAUGAGUUCUAGGAGUUAGGUACACACUAGUUCUUAUUUUAUUUUCUUCCCCUACUUAUGAGGGCAUUAGGAUAUGAUUUUUUUUUUUCUUCAGAGAAGCGAUGUGUGAUCGUUGUAGGAUAUUUUUACGUCGUUUUCGCUUCCAAUACCUGUUGUCCUUGUGAAACUUUUGGAAUCGUCUGCUUUUACCCUGAUGCGAUAUCAAAGCGCUACUAAAGUUUGAGGCAAAUAUAUGAUCCCUUCGUAUCUACGCAUUGCUAGUACCAAUAAUACGGAGGAUAAUGUGUCGAUAGUCUACUCAUUGGUAAUACCAUACCAAUGGUACGGAUGAUGAUGUGUCUAUAGUGAUAAUACAUCAGUAUGUUUGCCGUGUUGAACUGUGAGACAAUGGUCGGAAUGGCUACGUGGUCCGACAGGGUGGUCCAAGGUUCUCUCCGUCUUUGAAAUAGUUCGAGGGAGGACAGCAGGAAGGGAAGUAGUUGGUUGGUCUGCUAAUUAGCCUUGUCUUAAAACAAUCUUAAUCACACCUACACUUCUUAAUCGCACCUUCUCAUCACUGUUAUAAAAAUCUCCGCCUAGCUCUAGGCGGCUAGUCACCUCUCCGAUUAAUGCCUAGGUGUUUGAAAAUUAAGAAAGGGCGCCUAGAGCUACUGAGGCGCCUGCCUAGACCUUCAAGACCUGUUUAGGUUGCGACUCACUUAUACAGAAAAUAGAUAUUUUUUAUUUUGCAUUUUAUUUUUUUAAUAAAUUAUAAGAGUCUUGUUGAAUACUUAAAUGAACACACAUUAUAUGUUUGUUUCCUAUGUUUUCAUUAUGUUUCAAUAGCUUAUAAUAUAUAUGUCAUUCUAUUUUGGAGUUUAUAAUGAAAUUAUAUGUAUUUUAAGUAUAAGUAGACACUUAUUUACACGAAAUAUAAUAGAUUUAAUUAAAUCCGUCUAGUAUGCCCAGGUGCCUGCCUAGGCGCUAGGUCCUAACCCGCCGCCCGACUAGUACCUAGCAUCUUUUAGAACCUUGCUCCUCACCCAAAAGUUUUCCCCUAAUAAUUAUGGCAACAUGCAAAACAUUAUUGUAAAAAAACACGUUGAUCGUGCCGAAUUGACACCAUGAUCUUAAACUUGGUGGUGUUCCAGAUCCCGAUCUGACACGUCGUGUUCAAAUGCUAACUGGUUGAGUAAUUAAAAGAGGUAAUUGAAUAGGAUAUUAGAAAGUGGAUGUGGAUUUGUAAGUUGAUUAGUUGGAAUUGGGUAUUAAUUAAAUACUAAUAUGGUUUUGGUAAACGUGCCGAUCCAGGAACAGUUUAAAACUAUCUCGUUGCUUAAUAAUUUUCACCAAAUGCCAUCUGCUUUGUCAAUAUUCUAUACAUUUUAGCAGCCCCCGCUUCAUCAACUUUCUCCUUUUCAUAUUCUAUAUAUAGCUUUUUUUAGUCGACGAAGUCAACUCCAAGUUUUUCAAUUCCAGUCGAAUGAUCUUUUUCAAAUUAUUGGUUCUGUAGGGCAAAAAUUAAGAAAAAUGUAUAAAAAAUAAAAAUAAAUGUGUAAAUAUCACAACUCAAUUCAUUGACAGUAAUAACGUCGAGUGUAAUUAAUCACUUACGUUUUAUUGUUGAGAGAGGGUUCAAAAUGUCAAUGCCAAUAAAAUACAAAGUAUUGAAGAGAAAUGAAGAGAGUUCGUCGUCACAUUCCGUUGUGAAAUAACAUGAUAACGGGUUUAUUGCUUUAUUUAAGUCUGUUUUUCUAACUCCGAUGAGACGUCUGGGUCAUAGCACUAAAAGAAAAAUCUGCUAUUUCAUGAACAUUUUGGACAUAAAGUUUUUGUCGUCUUUUAUUCUUAUUAUUUUUGUCAACGUAAUUUGCUGAUUUCAUCACGUUUAGUUUUCAGUUUUUUGAUAUUUUUUAUUGAUGUAAGAAGUCGUGGUUCUUGGGAUUUUUGAAAUUGUUUUGUAAUGUAGGCUCCACUGAGAUGAUGUUACUUAAUAUAAGAUAAUCGGUAAAUUCAAGAUGUAGUCUUACACGCAAAGAAGGUUCCUGGAGAAUCGUUGUCCAUGGGAAAACGGCUAUUUAUGUAAUCAACAUAAUAUAUUUUACUCCUAAAAAAAACAUAUUUUGUCGAUUUUUUAGUUGAAUCAGUGAAGCACAUGUGGUACAAUAUUUUAUUGGUUAAAAUGUUGAGUAUCUAUCAAUAUAUCUCGAAUUCAAAACUCUCAUAUAUCUUAAAUUAUUGCAAUAUUUUUAAAUCUUCCUCCUUUUUUUUAAUAAUAAUAAUAAUAAUUAUUAUUAUUAUUUUAAAAAUUAGAAAAAAAAAGCUGAAUUAGUGAAGUCCCUUUAUCGUUUUUAGCGUAUUAAACAGCUAAUGUGAUUGGCUGCACUUUAAUUAUUUCCAUACAUUUUUUUAGUUGAAUUAGUAAAGUCCCUUGAUACUUUCUAGCAUAUUAAACUGUGUAGCCGAGAUGAGAAUGCUUAAUUGGAUGUAUGGAUGCAUAAAAAAGGAUAUGAUUACGAACGAGAUUAUAUGAGGUAAAGUAGGAGUGGCCGCAAUUGAAGAGAAAAUCUGAGAAAAUCACUUUAGGUGGUUUGGACAUAUGAACCGUUAGAAGAUGCAAUUAUGCGACAAAAGCUCAGGGCUAGGAAGACUUGAAAAGAGAUUCUAAUAAAAUACAUUGAGUACUUGGAGUUAAUGGAAGACUUGGUGCAAAACUGAACGUAAUAAUGUUCUAAGAUUCAUAUAAUCGACCCGACCAGUAAGAUAAAUUUUUUUUGUUGAUGUAUUGUUUUAGUACUAAUCAAACAAGUUACUCGGGUUCUAAUCAAACAAGUUACUCAUUGUUUGUUAAAAAAAACGAGUUACUCGUUGAAUACUCUUCAGCAAGCUGAACCUUAUGUAUCCAAAUUCGUUCUUUCAAAGAUAUCAAAUCCAUAUCAAACAAAGCCAUGGGAGAUUACGAUGAAGUCUUUGAAGAUACUUUAUCCUUAUCCCUUUUACUUUAGUUUACCCAAUGGGGGAGAUGUGCUUUGUGGCAUGCGUUGUAGGAGUUAGGUUUCUUAUAAAAGAAAAGGGAAAAAAAAAAAAAACACUAGUUCUCAGUUAUUUUCUUCUCCUACUUAUGUGAGAAUUAAGAAGUGAAUUUUUUUUUUUUUUUUUUAGAGCUGAUGUGAGAAUUCUAGCAUAAUUUUUACGUAGUUUUCGCUUCCAAUGCCUGUUAUCCUUACGUAAUUUUUGGAAAUCUUCUGCUUUUACCUUGAUUCGAUAGCAAUUAAAAUGCUACCAAAGUUUCAGGCAAAUUUACGAUCCCAUCCUAUUUAGUAUCUACCACAUUUGAUGAAGAAAAUCACAUAUGGGAUCAUCUACACGAUAAUACCAAUAAUACGAAUAAUGAUGUGAUAUUGAAUGGUAGGAUAAUGGUAGGAUAAUGGUAGGAUAGUGGUAGGAUUGGCUAUGUGAUCCGACGAGCUGGUCUAAGAUUCUCUUCGUUUUAAAAAUGGUUCAACACAUCCACUCGUACAUAAACAUUAUUAAUCGUUCCUUAUAGUUAUAGCACGUCUUAAUAAUGAAAGUUUGAAAUUAAAAUUAAAAUAAUGUUUACAUGUGCUAAACCCCAUGAUUGUUCUUUGUGGGGUCUUAAACUUGGUUGUGAUCCAGAUCCCAAUUUGGUACGUGAUAUCUUCAACUAGGCGGUGAUCCAGAUCCCAAUUCGAUUCGUCAUAUUCAAAUGCUAAUUAGUUGACUAAUUACCAAAUUUAAUAGGAUAUUAGAGAGCAAAUUUGGAUUUGUGUGGUGAUUAAUUAGAAUUCGUAGUAAUUAAAGACUAAUACGGUUUUGGUAAUCGUGCUGGUCCAGGAACAGUUCACCAAAUGCCGCUUCCAAUCAUUACCCUUUAAUCUCAUUCUUAAUUACUUUUUGUUGAUUAAACCUGACACAAUGAAGUGGAUAGGUUAUCGUAGUUUGAGUGGCUAACUGUAACGGUUAUCUUUUCUUGGUGGUCGAACCAUACCAACAAUUGUUGGAGAGAUUUUUCAACAUCAUUGAAAUACGGGGUGAUACAUCCUGUGUCAUUAUACAACGAAAACUUUAAUAAAAAAAGGUUUAAAAAAAAAAAUAUUUUAAUAAAAAACCAUCAUAUAGUUUUCUUUAAUCAAAAGCACCUCAAAGCUAACCGUAAGGACAUAUGCCCAAAUUCUAUGCGAGCUGGAUUACAGAGCCGGACAAAAAUAAGUUUCUACAAUUACCCCAACAGAAGGAAAACCCAACCCUUUCACCACCAAUUAACCAAAAACCAAAUCAAACCCCAACAUUAUUCAUUUCGAAUUCAACUAAACACACUGGGUCGUUCUUUCUCUAAGGAUCCUCUUCCUGAAGUUUCUAAUGUCGUAAAUAAUUAAGUGGUGUUCAAGUUGAAAAAAAAAAUCGAACCCAUUUUCUAAUAUCGUAAAUAAUUAAGUGGUGUUCAAGUUGAAAGUCCUAUUUUAAAUGUAUAAGUACCAUCAUAUUUCCAACUAGAAAAUACUCUUUGCCAGAUGGCUAGAAUGUAACAGUGGUUUCAUAUAUAGUGUGAGUUAUCUUGCUGUAGUUUCAAAAAUAGUGUAGGUUAUUUUGCUUCAGUUCUAAAAAUAAUGUGGGUUACUUUGGUUCAGUUUCAGAAAUAGUGUGGAUUAUUUUGCUGUAGUUUAAAAAAUAGUGAGUUAUUUUGUUGUAGCUUGAGAAAUAGUGUGAGUUAUAUUGGUUCAUUUCAGAAAUAGUGUGGGUUAUUUUGUUGUAGUUUCAGAAGUAGUAUGACUUAUUUUGCUGUAGUUUUAGAAGUAGUAUGGCUUAUUUUGCUGUAGUUUAUAAAUAGUGUGAGUUAUUUUGGUUUAAUUUCAGAAAGAGUGUAAGUAUUUUGGUUCAUUUCCAGAAAUAGUGUGGGUUAUUUUGCUGUAGUUCAUGAAAUAGUGUGAGUUAUUUUGGUUCAGUUUUAGAAAUAGUGUGAGUUAUUUUGGUUCAGUUUCAGAAAUAGUGUGAGUUAUUUUGCUAUAGUUUCAGAAAUCAUGAGAGUUUUUUUUUUCUUGGCUGUAGUUCCGAAAAUAAUGUGAGUUAUUUUGGUUUAGUAUUAGAAAUAUGGUGGGUUUUUUUGGUUCAGUUUCAGAAAUAGAAGCCAUUGUUCAUGUUUGUAAUUUCCCUUUCCUCAGUUUAAGUAAACUUAUUAAAUGUUAUAUAUAAAUGUCUAUUUACACAUAAAAAAAAACUAUAUUUGUAUUACGAAUUUGAGUUUAUUAGUUAACAUAGAACAUAUAAAUAUUAGAAUUUUAGAGUGUUUUACUUUAGUAUCUUAGUAAUUUGAUGGUAUGGUAUAAACUCAAAUGAUUACGAGUUUGUAGUACUUUACAAAAUAUUUUUCAAAAGUUGCAUGAAUUUAUACUAAAGUUUAAAAGAAUUAAUGAUGUUUUUACACGUGAAUAAUAUAAGACAUCAUGCAUGGCAUCACACCUCCCAAUUUUUUUGGUCGGCAUGUGUAUCACCUCCCAAUUCAUAGGACUUAGAUUGUCUGCCCUCCCAUUUCGGUGCCCUCCCCGUGCCCUCCUAUUUUGUGUGGUCACGGUUAAGCCACGUCAAUAUUUUAUAUUAUUUUUUUAUAAAAAUAAUAAAACAAAAAGAAAUAGUAAUAUAAAAUAUUGACGUGGUUUAACCGUGACCACAAAAAUAGGAGGGCACGGGGAGGGCACCACAAUUAGAGGGCAGACAAUCCAAGUCCCAAUUCAUAAGUCCUUGAGUUAAUAGGAUGCUAGGUGGCGGAAGCUCAUGGGAUUACAAUUACGGAAGAAGACAUUGUUUGUCACGUGGGAGAGAGAAAAUAAGAAGACUUUCUUUAUGAAUUUUCUGUCAUAGGUUAACGUCAAAUUUUCGUGUCACUUUAUAGUUUAACAUCACUUUUUCGCGUUAAUAUUAUAAAAUAUUGUACUAAAAAUAUGAGAUGACAGAGAAUAUUUAGAGGGGUUUCUAUUUUGAUACUCCAACUCCAACCCCAAAAUCAAAGAUCUAGAAGACCAUUUUUAUACCGCAAAAUAUCAACAUUACCAGUUAAAUAACAUUAAAAAAAAAAUAUCAGAUUUGCAGGCAAAUAUAUAUAUAUAUAUAUAUAUGUUGGUCCUAGAAAAAUAUAUUUCAAAUGUUUUUGCAAGUACAACCCAUGCUAGUUGUGUAAAGCGGAAUGAAAUCCACUCCGGGUUUGUGCUCGGAGCUCGCGCAAUGAGAGAUUUGGAACGUUCAAUUUCAAUACUAAGGCUCCUAUUAGCGCAUUUCAUAGACCCACUUCACAAAAGAGCAAAAGCUUGAAUAAUUCGGAUUUCUUUUUUUCUCUUAAACUGUCAAGAUCUCUUGCUCCGUAGGCUCUAAACGCAAAAAUCCAGAGUAGACCUCAUUCCGUGUAAGGGCCACACAAGACACAUGUGGUCUCCCUUUAUUUAUUGGGUAAGAUUAGUCGGACCCACUGUAGCAUAGCUGUACACUAUCAUUGUUUCUAGACGAUAAACAAUUUUGAAUGUGCUGGCAAUUAUGUAAAUUUGACCAAACUGAAAAUGCAAGGAGGGAAAAAAAAAUACAAAAACUUCAUACUCAUCCGAUCAAAUUCAAGGCACCUAGUUGCGACAGAAACAAAGAGAAUUCAUCGUCGCAUGACAUUUCAUAAUAUCAUGAUAAUGAUAAACCCGUUUUGUAUAAGUCUGUUCCUUUAUCUACAAGGAGACUUGUGGAUGUUAACUCAGUUGCCAAACUUUGUUUGUGGCUGUGGGUUUUAGCACUAAAGGGAAAAUCUGUUAUUUCAUGAUCAAUUUGGACAUAAAGGUUCUGUAGUCUUUUAUUAUUAUUUUUGUUAUUGUAAUUUGCUGAUUUCAUGGAUCAUGUUUAGUUUUUCAGUUUAUUGAUAUUUUUUUUAUUGAUGACAGAAACUUGUGGUUCUUGGGAUUUUGUAAAUUCUUUUUGGAAUAUAUAGGCUCUACUGGGAUGAUGAUUCAUAUCGUGAUUCAUGUGUGUUUAACCCAGUUAUUGGAGAAUAAUUAAUUUAUGUAACCGACUUGAUAUUUUAUACAUUUUUAGUUGAAUUCGUGAAUUCCCUUGGUAGUUUCUAGCGUAUUAAACGGCUAAAGUGACUGGCUGCACUGUAAUUAUUUUAUAUGUUAGCAUCAAGGUUCUAAAAGACGUCAAACGUUAAGCGGGCGGCGGAGGACUAGGACCUAACGUCUAGACGGAACCCUAAACAACUAGGCGGAUUUAAGUAAACUUAUUAUAUAUUGUGAAAUAAGUGUUUGUUUAUACUUAAAAAGUACAUAAUUGUAUUGAGAUACAUAAGUUGAAAAAUAGAAUGAUAUAGAUUAGAAAGUAACAUAACAUAUUGAAAGCAUGGGAACCAGAAUAUAAUGAGUGUGUAUCCAAGUAUUCAACAAGUCUUUUACAAUUUAUUAAAAAAAUAAAAUGCAAAGUGAAAGUUAUCUAAUUUCUAUCUAAGUGGGUGCCUAGGUCUAGGCAGGCGCCUAGACGGGUUAGGCGGGUGCCGAGAUGGGUUAGGGUGGUGCCUAAGUAGGUCUAGACACAAUUUCUUAAUUUUCAAACGCCUAGAGGCCAAUCAGGGGUGACACCAGCCGCCUAAGUCCGGACCAACCGUCUAGCGCUUAGGAGGGACCUAAGCGGCGCUACGCGGGGAUUAUUAGAACAGUGAUCAUUACUAAUUAAUCAAACAAGUUACUCAUUGCAUAUUCUUCAGCAAACUGACCUCGUUGUGUAUCCAGAUGAUUUCUUUCAAAUACAUCAAGUCCAAUGGAGUUAUCAUACAUGCCCAGAUGCUCACCCAAGACCAACAUUUUAUUAUCCAGAUUCCAACUUGAUAUGUCUAGAUUUGAUUAAUGCUGAUUAGGAUAUUAGAGAGUGACGUUGGAUUUGUAUGCUGAUUGGUUGGAACUUGGAAUUGAUGUUAAUUAUAGACCACAAUUGUGAGAUCUAAAACUUUUGAACACCACGAUUGUGAGAUCUAAAACUUGGUGGCCCUGUCCAUCUGGGUGGGUGAAAACCAUGUGGAGGAUUCCUUUCUUGCUGCUUCUAAUCUGGGAGGUGUAGGUGCGGUAUUUCGCGAUGAAGCCAGUAAUUAUGCUGGAGGCUUCAUUUGUCAAAUAUCCCCUACAUUGAAUCGCACGAUGGUGGAGUUACUAGCUCUCCGUGAUGAUGUUUAUUGGGUUGUGCAACGGAACUUGCCGCAAAUUAUUGUGAAAAGCGAUUCUUUGCAGGUUGUUCAAGCUAUUGGAAGCUUAAAGCAGGGGUCUUCACACAUGGAUUUAUUAGUGGAAGACAUUCGAGCUAGCUUGCGGAUCUUUGAGGAUUCGCAGGUUUGUUAUGUUUGCCGUACCACCAAUGUCGCAGCUCAUUUUGUAGCCAAGUUGGCUAUUUCUUAUACCUCUAAUUUUUGUUGGUUUGAGGAGCCUCCAAACUUGAUGGUGGAGACCCUCUUAGAAUCUGUAUGAGAUUUUUCUAUCUUAAUAAACCACUACCGUUUCAACUCAAAAAAAAAAAAAAAAAAAAAAAACUUGUUUAUCCACAUUCCAAUUUGAUAUGACAUAUUUGAAAGCUGAUUAGUAGGAUAUUAUAUAGAGUAAAUUUGGAUUUGUAUGCUAAUUAGUCGUAACUUGGAAUUGAUGUUAAUUAUAGACUAUUAAGGUAGGGUGAUUUGAACUCACGAUGUAAGUGCAUUAAAGAGAAAAAUUCUAAUUAUGGCAAUCCAUCAUCUAUAAUUACGGACUAAUAUGCUGUUCGUGCUGAUUAAGAAACAAUUUUAUUUUGUUGAUUAAUCAAUUUUACAAUAAUUGUAACCAAAUGCCACGUACAUUUUUAUAUAUUAGUAGCUGAGUUAUUUUGACGAUCGUGCCUCUUACACUACAAGAAGUAAACUCCAAGUUUUUCAAUUAAGUAGUUGUAUUAUUGCUGAAGAAAAUUCAAAAUGUCACUACUGAUUAAUUAUAAGAGUGCAACACUGACCCUACGACCAAAACCAAAACAAAAACGUUAAAACAAAGAACAAAAUACAAAAGAAUAAUCAACGUAAUCGGCAUUUCAUUUUUUUCCCUUACGAGGAUGAUAUGCCAUACAGUUUAAAGCACAUGGUUUUAAUUUAAAUAGAAAAGUAGAAUGAUGAGGAUGGUUAAUGGUAUUUUAUGGACCUAUGAUAUAAUAUUAUCAAUUAGUAAAAACACUUAUUACAACACAAACAUAUUAUUGAUAUCAUUUGGUAUCAUGAUUGUCACAUAAAAAAAUUACUCGCUAUUUUCCUAAUAUUUUUCUUUUCAAAUGCGUAUGCAAUAUAAUUAACAUUAAGCGGUAUAAUAUUUGAUCGUAGAAGAAUUACAAUGCACAUGCAAUAUAGCAUUAAAAGAAAAAAUAGUAUUUCAUCCUAGCUAGAAUAAACAUUAAUACGAGGAAAACUUUCUCUAAUGAUCAAUUUCAAUUGUACCAACGUAACGAAUUUGAAUGCAGAGUUAAAAUAAUUUAAAGACAUGCAAAUCAACCAAUAUAUUCAACCACUAAAACAACAUUUACUUGAGCCACCUAUACAGAUCAACAUCGCGACAAUAUAAAGCAAUAAAUUCAUACCGAAACAAAAUAAAAAACUCUCAUAGUACAAAACACAUAGCAACUUAAGCCCAAUUUCUGUACUUAAUUUUUUUUCUAAAAACAUACUAAAAACUAAAAAUCUUAAAACUCACAAAUAUUCAUGUACAUGUGCAAAACCCAUGUAGUAUCGCAAAAAUUCACGCUAUUAUAUAUGUACUCAAUAAGCGUUGUAUGCAGGGUCAACUUACCAUAUACAUCUUAGUUGAUAAGCUCCUUCUUAAUUACUUUUUGUUGAUAAAAUUAACUCCUUAAUUACCUUUUGUUGAUAAAUUCCUGAAGCUGUGAAGUUGGUCAUUGCAGUCCGAUCAAGCGUCUAACUUUAACUUUAACCGAUUUCUUGUAUUGAUGGUCGAAGCAUGAUAACGAUUAAUUCAUCACACCUAACAACGUUAACGUUUAUGCACAAAAUGAUGUUGUAGGUGAAGAAGUUAAUGUUCUACCAUAAAACUAAUUGACAAAAAUGGGGAAUAGUCUAACUACUUAUAAGCACAUGCAAAAUCUUUUCUUUCAUCAACGUGGGAUUCAUUCUCAACUGUAUGUGCCUUGGUUGGUGAAACUUUAAACUUCGAACAAUUAAGGUAGCCUAUUGUGAGGCUUGGCCGACUCCUAAUGUCCACUCCUUUAAUGUAAAUACCGUUUGUUAAAGAAAAAGUAAAUUAACUUUCACACACGUUAAAUAUGUGCAGAAAAUGAUGUGCAGAUGAUAUGGUUUCUGAAACCAAAAAUAACAGAGACGUCAAGAAAACUUCACUUUUGCUUGACUUUUUUCUAUUUAGGUAGAGCAUAUUUAUUAACAAAUUGAUUGUAUUGUGUAGAAUCAUUUGGAGUUCAGACUUUAUACUUCUAGUCUAGAAUUGGUUGAUCUCCUGAAUUUUAGAUUUCCAUUCGAAGUUGUAAAAGAUCAUUUAUGAGCACUACUUGGCUCCAUAAGAUUUUGGAGGAACUCCUCCUUAAAAUAGUUCGUGGCCGAUUCGUGAACUUCAUGCUUAUUUUAGAAUAGUUCCAUUAAUUUUUUUGUAAAAAUUAUCUAUUAAAAAAGUUAAUUAAAAUUAAGUUGUUUAGUCAAUGUAUUGUAAUAAAUAAAUAUACGGUUUAUAAUGUUUUACAGAUUCCAACUUUAUAUUUUUUAUCCAUGCAUUCUGGAUUCGAAACUCCACAUCCCUUAAAUUAUUGUAAUAGUUUCGUACUCUUCCCAUCUUUCUAAUAAUAGUAAAAAAAUAAAUUAAAGAAUGACUAAACAAUCCCUUUUUUUUUUAAGGGGGACAAUUGGUGGCAAGCCAUGAUUCCAUUCCUGUAAAACCCGGAGAGGCUAUAGGGAAUUUCACCAUACCCAUGGCUACAGUCAAACAGACCCAUCAGCUCGGAGUAUCGAACCUAGCUAGGAGUAGGACCUCUCACAUUUUUUUUGUUUAGUCAAUGUAUUGUGAUAAAUAAAUAGACAGUUUAUAAUGUUUUACGAAUUCCAACUUUAUAUUUUCUAUUCAUGCAUUCCGGAUUCGAAACUCCACAUCCGUUAAAUUAUUGUAAUAGUUUCGUACUCUCCCCCUCUCUCUAAUAAUAGUAAAAAAAAUUUUAAAAAUGACUAAAAAAUCUCAUAUUUUUUUCUUUUUUUAAGGGUAACAACUGGUUGCAAGUUAUGGUUCCACUCCUGCAAAGCCUAGAGAGGCUAUGAGAAAUUUCACCCUAAUGAUGGCCACAGUCAAACAAACUUACCAGCUCAAAGUAUCAGACCCAGGACCUCUCACAUUUUUUUUGUUUAUUAGACAGUUAUCGUCCACGCUCUUACCACUGGACCACUUAUUAUGGCUAAUCUCAUAUUUUAUUGAGUUUUGCAUGAAAUUCUUUUUUUGAAUCAUUCAUGAUAUGUACGCUUUUAAUUAUAAAUAGAAAGUUUUAUGACUAUCGAUUCCAGUAAUUAAAUCUGUAAACUCAAAAGAGGAACCUAGUUAUUGUAAAACCAACAAAAAAGAAUCAUAUUAGUUUGCAUGCAAUUUUGUUCCUGAGAAUAAUUUUAUAUUCUAGUGGAUAAGCUGACGUCACACUGUUCUGCUUUAUACUUUUUGACAGUACUGCACACUGCUGUACAAUAUCAUGUUUUCAAAAAAUAAACAUUUUUGAAUGGGAGGCAGAUUCUUUGCUCUUUCAUUUUCGUGCCCUUCUGUUUGUGUGGUCACGGUUAAAUCAUAUUAAUAUUUUAUAUUACUAUUUAUUUUUAUCUUAUUAUUUUUAUAAAAAAAUAAUAUAAAAUGUUAACGUAAUUUAACGGUAACCAUACAAAAUAGAAGAACAUUUUUUUUGAAUUUGCUAAUUGAAUACUGCAGAUAGGAAUCACAUAAAAGCUGAAAACUUCGUUCAUUUUAAAAAAAAAUUUAUUUAUUGAAAGCUACGGCAUCAUUCAUCAUUAGCAUAAACGGUGCAAAGAACCGCAGUACAAAAGAAACUGGCAAGAAAGAGACCAGCUAAUCAGAAACUACAUUCAGUAAGUAAUAUAAAAUCAUAAAAAGACAAGGGCGAAGGCAGGCAGACUCGUUUCGAAGCCCCUGGCUGCAGGCAGGCUUGUAGUUGUAGAUAGUCUUUUAUUAAAUUAAAUUAUUAACCAUGCAGCCAACUUUAUUUCCUUGUGGCUGUGGGGUUCGACUAGAAGGAAAUGUUGGAGUAUUUUGAAGUCCAAAGAAACUUUUAUUAAAUUAAAUUAUCAACCAUGUCGCCAACUUUAUUUCCUUAUGGCUGUGGGGUUCACACUAGAAGGAAAUGUUGGAGUAUUUUGAAGUCCAUAGAAACAUGAGACUUUGCGUGUGCUUAUAAGUAGUUGAUCUAUCAAUUCUCAUAUUUUCAAUUGGUUUUAUGAUGAAACUUCAAUUUUUUUCACGUUAUCAAAGUUGGUUGUCCCUUGUGUGAAGCUCUACAUGUUCUCCAUGUCCUCGAUUUGUGUUGUCCACUUAUUUGACUUGAAAAGUCUUCACACGUGAAGGAGCGCGUUAAUAGUUAAGGCCCAUUCUAGUUAUUUAAUAUAUAGUUGUACUAAUCAAACACCUUGAUUGUAUUCUAGUCGGUCAAGAGUGUAGAACUUGUAUCGUGCAAAGAUCAUAUAUCAAGUUAGCAGUGAAAAUGGAAUUGGAAAUGCUGGGGUUCAUUUGGACAAGUUAAUUAGUAGUGCAAAGAUCAUAUAUCAAUUUGACAUUAUAAUAUAUUCAAUAUUAUAAUGUCAAAUUGUUUGUUUAGACUACUACAAUCCAUAUAUAUGUCAAAGAGAAAACGGAAGAAAAGAAACGCGUUUCAAAUGACACCUUACAAGCAAUUAUUUCAGAGACAUGCAAAGUAUUAGUCAUCUAAAGUACGUUCAUGUUUGUUUGUUAGGGUUGUGAUAUCCACACAUCCAUUUUACUUCUUACACACCUUUUUAAUUUCAACCGUCGGAUAUGAUGAAUUGAAGAAGAUCAACGGACAGAAAUUAUCCACACACCCUUUUCGUUAAUGUUACAAACUGAGCCUCAUUAUCAUAUCCAAAUACCUAGGAUCUAUCUUGCAAAAGAACGGAGAAUUAGAUGGAGAUCUCAACCAUAGAAUACAAGCUGGAUGGAUGAAGUGGAAGAGUGCAUCCGGCGUGUUGUGUGACCGUCGUAUGCCACUGAAGCUCAAGGGAAAAUUUUAUAGGACGGCAAUAAGGCCGGCGAUGCUGUAUGGCACAGAAUGUUGGGCGGUGAAACAUCAACACGUACACAAAAUGGGUGUAGCGGAGAUGAGGAUGCUUCGUUGGAUGUGUGGGCACACGAGAAAGGAUAAGAUUAGGAAUGAGGAUAUCCGGGGUAAAGUAGGAGUAGCCGAAAUUGAAGGAAAGAUGAGAGAAAAUCGGUUACGGUGGUUUGGACAUGUGCAAAGAAGGCCUACUGACGCUCCGAUUAGAAGAUGCGACUAUGGGACAGAGGUUCAGGGCCGAAGGGGUAGAGGAAGACCUAGGAAAACUUUGGAAGAGACUCUAAGAAAAGACUUAGAGUACUUGGAUCUAACGAAGGACAUGACACAGGAUCGAGCACAAUGGCGUUCUAAGAUUCAUAUAACCGAUCCCACUCAGUGACUUGGAUUUUCCAAGUCUCCAAUCAAGAAGUUUUCCUCACUCGGGAAAUUAAAGGAACACUACCCCAACCUACAUGCUCCACUCAGAAAGCUUCAACAUACAAGCUUCAACAUACAAGCUUCAACAAAAGAAAAUUCAAAGAACUUAGCGAAGAAGGCUUUGGUGUAUUUAACACAAUACGUUGAAAUGAAGGAAAGCUUAUUUAUUGAUAUCCCCGAUAAGCUACAAAUAUGUACAUAUACAUGAGUCAAAAUAAACACACAAGAGGGAGCCUUCACAAAGGUUGCUUAGGAGAAGUCUCAGCAGUCGGUAGAGCCCCAGAAAGAGAAGGCACCGGAGGGGGAUCAUUUGGAGCCUCAGUACUGGACAGAACCCUAGGAGGAGGAGGCAUCAGAGGUUGAUCAUUUGGAGCUUCAUUACGCGGUACAGCCCCAGAAGACGAAGGCAAUAAAUGCCUUUGGAACAAACCCACAAAUCUCUGAUGAUCAAGUAAAACCUGACCAUCAGUUUCCUUCAUCUGGUCAAGCUUCCUCUUCAUGUUUGUAGCAUAGUCAUGUGCAAGCCGGUGCAACUGUUUAUUCUCAUGCUUGAGCCCUCUAAUCUCCUGUUUGAGACUCAUCACUUCAGCCGCCAAUGAUUUAACUUGGCGGGUUCGAGCAAAUAGGCGUUGGGCCAUAUUAGACACAGAACCUGCACACUGAACACUGAGAGCCAGCGAAUCCUUAACAGCUAACUCAUCAGACCGUUUGGAAAGUAGUCUGUUAUCUUUGGGAGUGAGAAGGUUCCUGGCCACCACCGCAGCGGUCAUAUCAUUCUUCAUCACGGAAUCCCCAACGGUAAGAGGACCAGUUGGGGAGACGAAGGAUGGGCGCCAUAUGUUGUCUGGAGAAGGCGGGGCUGCCUCUUCAACAAGGUUCAAGUCAAAACGACGGUCGGAGGGGCCAGACAUUUUCAAAGGUGUUGAAGAGAGAAGAGGUCGGACAAAUCAAGAUAUUAGAAGUGCAAGAAUGAAGCUUCUACUGGUGGAGAUUCAAGUGUGCUUUGGAACUUAAUGCCAGCCUCUAUAAAAAUCUGCACUCGACGGAGCUUCAGAAAUCAAAGAGGCGCCCUGCUCAGAAAUCGAAGAGGCGUUUGCUUUCUUAAAAGUUGGGCUGCUUAGAGAUCACGAGGGUUGAUCUCAGAAAUCGAAGAGCCGUUUGCUUUUCUCAAAAGUUGGGCUGCUCAAAGACCACGAAGGCCGAUCUCAGAAAUCGAAGAGGCGCUCGCUUUCUCAAAAGCUGGGCUCCCUAGAGACCACGAGGGCCGAUCUCAGAAAUCGAAGAGGCACCUACUUUUCCAGCCUUGUCAGCACCUGUCACACGCACACUCAGCUUUGCGGAAAUUAUGGGCAUUCUGUCAAAGACUUCUGGGGAAGUAGAAAACACAUGAAUCUUACUGUUCAAUCACCCACUUCCCACACGCAACAAUAGCUCAUGGGUACCACAGAUAACUUUGCCAAAGUUCUCUGCCAAAGUUGAGCACGUGAAGCUUGCAGCUCCCACUACAUCGCUCUGACCAAGAAGGGUAAAAGAAUAGCAAAGAAACAGCACUAACAAAGUUUAGACCCAUAAAUUUUGAAGGUCUAGCUACCAUAUUAUUACCCACAAGGGUAAAGGAAUAGUACCACUGCUGGAUAAUUGGAAAGUCCAUGUAUGUCAACCUCUGUGCUUCGUGGCAAGGUAGACUAGCAAACAUGCCCAACCUUUACUCACAUUCGAGAAAACACUCCCAAUAAGAUUGCUUGCUCCAAAAUCGAAGAGGCACCGUCCUCCGAAUCUAAAGAGCCAGACUCCUAACAUGACUACUUUCUUAAAAAUCGAAGAGCGGGUAAAGGAACAGUACCAUUGCUGGAUAAUUGGAAAGUCCCUGUGUGUCAACCUCUGUGCUUCGUGGCAAGGUAGACUAGCAAACAUGCCCAACCUUUACUCACAUUCGAGAAAACACUCCCAACAAGAUUGCUUGCUCCAAAAUCGAAGAGGCACCACCCUCCGAAUCUCGAGAGCCACUCUCCCAACAUGAUUACUUUCUCAAAAAUCGAAGAGACACUGCUCCCCGAAUCUCGAGAGCCAGACACCUAGCAUGAUUGCUUUCUCAAAAAUCGGUGAGGCACCGUUCUCCGAAUCAAUCGAAGAGGCGCUCGCUUUCUCAAAAGCUGGGCUGCUCAGAGACCACGAGGGCCGAUCUCAGAAAUCGAAGAGGCACCUACUUUUCUAGCCUUGUCAGCACCUGUCACACGCACACUCAGCUUUGCAGAAAUUAUGGGCAUUUUGUCGAAGACUUCUGGUGAAGUAGAAAGCACAUGAAUCUUACUGUUCAAUCACCCACUUCCCACACGCAACAAUAACUCAUGGGUACCACAGAUCACUUUGCCAAAGUUCUCUGCCAAAGUUGAGCACGUGAAGCUUGCAGCUCCCACUAUAUCGCUCUGACCAAGAAAGGUAAAAGAAUAGCAAAGAAACAGCACUAACAAAGUUUAGACACAUAAAUUUUGAAGGUCUAGCUACCAUAUUAUUACCCACAAGGGUAAAGGAACAGUACCACUGCUGGAUAAUUGGAAAGUCCCUGUGUGUCAACCUCUGUGCUUCGUGGCAAGGUAGACUAGCAAACAUGCCCAACCUUUACUCACAUUCGAGAAAACAGUCCCAACAAGAUUGCUUGCUCCAAAAUCGAAAAGGCACCGUCUUCCGAAUCUCGAGAGCCAGACUCCCAACAUGACUACUUUCUCAAAAUCGAAGAGAGGGUAAAGGAACAGUACCAUUGCUGGAUAAUUGGAAAGUCCCUGUGUGUCAACCUUUGUGCUUCGUGGCAAGGUAGACUAGCAAACAUGUCCAACCUUUACUCACAUUCGAGACAACACUCCUAACAAGAUUGCUUGCUCCAAAAUCGAAGAGGCACCGCCUUCCGAAUCUCGAGAGCCAGACUCCCAACAUGAUUACUUCCUCAAAAAUCGAAGAGACACUGCUCUCCGAAUCUCGAGAGUCAGACCCCCAGCAUGAUUGCUUUCUCAAAAAUCGAAGAGGCAUCGUUCUCCGAAUCUCGAGAGCCAGAUACCACAGACCACUUUUUCAAAGUGCUCUGACAGAGUUAAAACAUGUGAAACUGGCAGCUCCCACUACCGUGCUAUGACCAAGCAGGGUAAAGGAAUAGCAUUACUACUUGUUGUUAGGGAGACUCCUAUAUAUGUCGACCUCCAUCCCCAACGGACAGGCAGACCUGCAAAAAUGCUCAACCCUUCAUCAUAUCUGAGAGGGCACUCCCAACAAAGCCUUUCGAAAUAUUCAGCUUUUCUUUCCCCCCGAUAAUACCUCUGCAAACAAGCUAUACUAGAGCAAGAAUAUCUCAUAUCAUCAGGGUUAAAAGCAAGAGUAUCCCAUAUCAUGCUUUUUCCCUGUUUUUUCUUUUGGCCUUGUUUUUACCUGACAAAGACAAAGAGAGCAAUCAGUCAGUACUUGGAAUCAAGCUUCCAGCCAGGAACUGACUGCCUGGAACCCCUUACCUGAUUACUUACCUGGCAUUGCUCUCGAGUACUCAUCUUCAUCAUCUUAUGUUUCCAGGGAAGAUUCCGCAUCUGCUUGAGGAACAGAUAGGGCAAGUGCGAAGGAUACAAGGAAGCAUGUGGAGACAAGCGUAACAGCACACGUGCCGAUACAUCCAUUACUCUGUCAAAAGCAAAAGUAUCCCAUAUCAGCAGGGUGGAACGUACUCUAGAUUUGAUGGACUUGUUUUUGACCCUCAAAUUCUCCAGUCGGCCUUAUACUCUGGAGGAAACCAGAAAACCCUCCAGCUCAGUUCAAGAAUAAGCCUGUGGAAAGUUACUUCUUCAAAAGCAAAAGUAUCUCAUAUCAUCUCUUCUCAUUUUUCUUCUCUUUAUCCUUCAUGCUGCUGCAAGAUGGGGAGAAGGUGAACAAUCAGUCGGAGCUCUGAUUGCUUACCUUGUCUGUCACCUCUUUCAGCAGACCCCCUAGCUCGGCGACUUGGGGGACUCCUACUACAUGGUUUGUAUCGCGCUUGACCAAGCCUGAAACUACAAGUAAGCUUCAAGUGAAAUUGAUACAUUACCUUGUGCAUCUCCACCAGUUAAAGAUACCACCCCUGGAUGGAGGAAGAGUACUUCCAGAGAAGAUGCCACAUCUACCUAUGAGACAGAUAAGGCAAGUCAAGACGACACCACACUCCGAUACUUAGAAGUUUCGUGAUUACGAGAUCAUUAUCCCACAAUAUUUCCUAAUGUCAUUUGUACUAAAUCAUUCACUCGUACUCACUAAAGGAGAGCUUGAACCUAUGUACUUGUGUAAACCCUUCACAAUUAAUGAGAACUCUUCUAUUCCGUGGGCGUAGCCAAUCUGGGUGAACCACGUACAUCUUGUGUUUGCUUUCCUAUCUCUAUCCAUUUAUAUACUUAUCCACACUAAUGACCGGAGCAAUCUAGCGAAGAUCACAAAAAGCGACCGUUUUUCGUUACCUAGGAUCUAUCUUGCAAGAGAACGGAGAAUUAGAUGGAGAUCUCAACCAUAGAUAUACGAGCUGGAUGGAAAGAGUGCAUCCGGCGUGUUGUGUGACCGUCGUAGGCCACUGAAGCUCAAGGGAAAAUUUUAUAGGACGGCAAUAAGGCCAGCGAUGUUGUAUGGCAGAGAAUGUUGGGUGGUGAAGCAUCAACACGUACACAAAAUGGGUGUAGCGGAGAUGAGGAUGCUUCGUGGGAUGUGUGGGCACACGAGAAAGGAUAAGAUUGGGAAUGAGGAUAUCCGAGGUAAAGUAGGAGUAGCCGAAAUUGUAGGAAAGAUGAGAGAAAAUCGGCUCUGGUGAUUUGGACAUGUGCAAAGAAGGCCGACUGACGCUCCGGUUCGAAGAUGUGACUACGGGACAGAGGUUCAGGGCCGAAGGGGUAGAGGAAGACCUAGGAAAACUUUGGAAGAGACUCUAAGAAAAGACUUAGAGUACUUGGAUCUAACGGAGGGCAUGACACAAAACCGAGCGCAAUGGCGUUCUAGGAUUCAUAUAGCCGACCCCACUUAGUGGGAAAAGGCUUUGUUGUUGUUGUUGUUGUUGUUGUAAGAUGUUCUUCUACGGAAUAAUUUUAUAUAGUCCUUCAAGACUGUAGAGUUUGAUUGUGAAUUGAAUUUUUACUCCAAAUGUAGCAAGUUCUUUGAUUAAAAAAAAAAUUAUUUUUAUUAUUGAGCAAGGGCGAUGGGAAAAGUGAUAAUCUCCAUCCAAAAAACGAUAAAACAUACUAAAAUGAAAGGUGAAACCUUGCGCUUUCGUUUACCCUUUUUUCAAACCUUAUCGGGUGGACCUCCACCUCCAUCAAAGUUGGACAAUUAACUGUUUCUAUAGACCUAGCUAUCAGUCAACGCAUGAAGCAGAACACAGUCAGCUACACUUCAAAACAUUUGAUCUAUAUACACCAACAAUUUCGUUGAAUGGUAGAAAAAAUUAUAUCAAAGGGUCUUCCCCUUGGCCUUGUGCUUAAGUUAGUAACAAAUUCAACGUACCCCUCUAUUUAUACACAGCAUACAUAUUCUUCUCUAUAUGUAUUGUUCCCAUACUUCGCGUUCUUCUCUAUAUAUAUUUUUCCCAUACUUCGCGUUCUUCUCGUACCUCAAUCGUGUCAAUAUCACUUGGGAACAAAGGACCUUCAACUUGAGGUAAAAAAACAAAGAAACAAGAAGAAAAGUCAAGGCUUCUGUAGCAGGAAAGAAGAGCAGCAGCAGCCAUGACCGUUUCAUCUUCUCUUUCUGUUGCCAAAAAUGGCAGAGUCCUCAUCGCCGGUGCCACCGGUUUCAUCGGGAGGUUCGUAGCUGAAGCCAGCCUCGCAGCCGGUCAACCCACGUAUGUUCUCGUCCGGCCCGGCCCUCUGCACCCUUCUAAGGCUGACACCGUCAAGUCCUUCAAAGACAAAGGCGCAAUAAUCUUACACGUAUGGAAAUAAAUCUCUGUGCAAAAUAUAUCCUUUUUUUUUAUGACUUUACAUGCAUUUAUAAUUUUUGUUCACUUUAUCAUGUUUUAAUAUGUUGUAAUAUUGACUAUUUUCAGGGGCUGAUUUCCGAUAAAACCCUAAUGGAGAAAAUGCUAAGAGAGCAUGAAAUCGAGAUAGUAAUAUCAGCCGUGGGUGGUGCCACAAUAUUGGACCAGAUCACCCUAGUCGACGCCAUUGCGGCAGUUGGUACAGUUAAGGUAAAUAUAUAUUAUAUUUCCGAUGCAAAAAAUAUAUAUUAUAUAUAAAUAUAUCAUAUUAUAUUAUAUUAUAUGCUUUUUGGAAAACAAAACCAUAUAAAAACAUUAUAUAUUUUGUAAUUAAUUUUUCUGCAAAAUUUAUGUUGCAGAGGUUUUUGCCGUCGGAGUUUGGACACGAUGUGGACAGGGCUGAUCCGGUGGAACCAGGGCUCACCAUGUAUUUGGAGAAACGCAAGGUUAGACGUUCCGUCGAGACAUCUGGGGUACCCUACACAUAUAUUUGCUGCAACUCGAUUGCUUCUUGGCCCUACUUUGACAACACCCACCCUUCUGAGGUUCUCCCACCGUUGGAUCGGUUCCAAAUCUACGGUGAUGGCACCGUCAAAGGUAUGAUACACACGCACACAUUUUGUUGGUGAAUUUGCAGCAUUCCAUUAAUUAGGGGUACACGUGUUUUCUUCUAAUGUCAUUCAAGCUUAAAGCAAUGCCAGCUAAAAAGGACAGAUAUUCGUAGGACUCACUUUUGCUUAUAUUAAAAAAUACGUAUUAUUUGAUCCAAAAGAAAUAAAUAAUUUAUUAGCAAUAAUAAAAGUCAUCAAGCAAUUAUUUCUCCAUUAUUUUUACUACCGAAAGUGGAAUGAUUCUUAGAGUAAACACUUUACAACCACCGCAAUUAUAAUGUGAACCAAGUUCUUUCACCAACUAAAGUCUAAGUAGUUUACUUUAGGGAAAUAAUAUCUACAAUUGAUUAAUUAUAAUUGAAAAGAUAACUAUUACGAGCUCGUUUGAAAGUAUUUUUAAAAUGAUUGAUAACACUUUUAAAGAAAUAUUUUGGAUUCUAAAAUCACUUAAAAUGCUUCCUUAAGUGAUUAUUUAAGGUGCUUCCCUAAUUUCAAUCAUUUUAUAAAUUCUUCCAAACAAAUCUUAUAUUCAUUAAGAUAAAAACAAAAAAUGUUAUUUUAAGUCAUUGCAGGUAGCCAAUGGUGAGCAUGUACAAGAUGAAAGAGAAAUUUUAGAAAGUGAUACUUAUCCUAGUUGAUGAGGACAUUUAUUUUUAUUAACCUUAAUUGAAGAAAUGAAUCAUUUUUAUUGAUAUAUGUUAAAAAAAAUGAAAUGACCAUGUACCUACAACAAAUAUAAAAUUAUGUACGACCUGAACCAAUUUUUUUUAUAAAAAACCUAAAAUAUUAUAUGAUUAGGUGUAAGUCACUAUUAUAAUAAGUAUAAAAUACCUCUUGAAAUAAAUAAAAGUUAAUAACAGUUAGAUUGAGGAUAGUUUAUUAACGAACGGACUGUUUUUUCUUUUGUCCUGAUUUGGUGGCAAGAAAACCUUGAGAUGUGUUAUCCACGCUCUUUUUUAUUUUUUAUUCACUUUUUAUUAAUUUCAGUCAUUUGAUCUUCUUCAAUUCAUCCGAUGAUAAAAAAACUUAGAAAGGUGUGUGAAAAGUAAAAAUGGUGUAUGGAUAGCACAUCCCUACUAAAAAAUUGGAAGCAUUUAUGCUCAUCCUAUAACUAUGGGGUAUGCUCUUCAUACAUCUUAUUAUCUGCCAUGUGUACUUUUACUUAACCCUAAUUAUUUUUUUUCCACAUUGAAAAUGAUCUUUUAAUAUGCAAGUUAACCAAAAUUAGAUGAAAGGAUACAAGGCAGAUGAUAAGGUAUAUAGUGAGUAUACAACAUAAUUUAUAGUGGUGCGCAAAAAUGCAUCCCAAAAAAAGAUAAAAUCUCCUAAUUUGAAGGGAGUAUGAUUCUUUUUCCUCCUCAUCUUUCUCCUCUUUUAUUCCUUCCCCUCCUAUUUAAACGGUUAGGAUUAAAGCACACUGAAAUUUAUGGAGAGAAAAAGACGAAAAAAAAGUGUGAGAUGAGGGAAGUAAGAGAUAGAAAAUACAUGUUACAUAAACGGUUAGGAUUUAGCCCAACUUAUGUUUUUGCAAGGGGCUUUUCUCAUAGUGCACAUGUUACUUACAUAUCUAAAUAACAACCGUUAAAUUUAUAUGAACGAACGAGACAAAACUUUACCUUAAGUUACAACCGGGAUACCAAACCUUGAAGUACAGAAUCCGGUAGUUCUCUAUCUUCUCGCUCCGGGCGUCUGUCUCUCUCCUCCCUUCCCUUAGCCAAAACCUCAGUUCCUGUCUAGACCUAGAGCACUGCUGCCAUCACCAACAACUCUUUUGAAUUAGAUGAUGGGUUAAGUGUUUGUGUUGAUAAUUUUGGAGGGAAAUAGAACUUGGUGGAGGUCCUGGGGAGGAGUGGCUUUGGGUGGCUUGAGGGUUUUUGAUAGGUGGAGAGUUGAGUGGUUAACGGAGGCACAGUCGCCAACGGAUUAUAAUCUUUCGGCGGAGGUGUUUGGCCAACGGUGGGGAGAGGUAGGGGAGGUGACCAGGAGAAAGAGGAAGAGGUGGCAACUUUCGGCGCCCGUUCGUUAAGGUUGAUCGGUGGGUUAGAAGUAAAUGGGUAAAUAAAAUGUGCAUGUAGACGUGUGCACUGGGGAAGCAGCCUUUCGGCGAGUUGGAUGGAUGGGCGAAAACAUGGAAUUUUGAAUAUUCUAAGCCGUCCACGUGUAGGGUAGUCCUUUCUCCUCGGCACCGAACUUGUCUGUUGCUGUUAGGCCGUGCCCAACCUCCAGCCCAAAGCUGGGGCCCACUUUAUUCAUCCUCGCUCACCGCAAGUCUGCAACCUAAAGUGGGGCCCACUUUAGUCGGUCCCACAGUUCAUAUACUGUUCAAUAAUAAUAAUAAUAAUAUUAUUAUUAUUAUUUUAUUUUCGGAAGAUUCAAUGUUUCUGUAUCCACUAGUGAAUGUGGGAAAAUGUGUUUGAUGGUAUGUCUGAUGCACCUGCCAUUAAUUACUAAGGUACGAAAGAGAUACCUGCGCAUAUUUUUUGGUAUUUUACUAAUAUUACAACAUACACGUAAGCAUUUUUGUAGUAUUCAAGCUUUCAGCUCGACUUUUGAUGUUAUAUUUUUACUAUGUUACACAAAAUUUACAGC
RNAcentral lists this long non-coding RNA (61326 nucleotides) under Malus domestica (apple). RNAcentral's name for it is "long non-coding RNA (MDOM_LNC016048)". The record is from RNAcentral. Lineage: Eukaryota; Viridiplantae; Streptophyta; Magnoliopsida; Rosales; Rosaceae.